This 46921-nucleotide long non-coding RNA is filed under the name Hordeum vulgare. Its description in RNAcentral is "long non-coding RNA (HVUL_LNC008895)". The record is from RNAcentral. Lineage: Eukaryota; Viridiplantae; Streptophyta; Magnoliopsida; Poales; Poaceae.
GGACAAUGGGCUGGUGCCGAUUGUGGAGCCUGAGAUCAUGCUCGAUGGUGAGCACGGCAUCGAGAGGACCUUCGAGGUGGCGCAGAAGGUGUGGGCGGAGACCUUUUACUACAUGGCCCAGAACAACGUCAUGUUUGAGGGCAUCCUCCUGAAGCCAAGCAUGGUGACCCCUGGUGCCGAGUGCAAGGACAGGGCCACCCCUGAGGAAGUAGCCAGCUACACCCUCAAGCUCCUCCAGAGAAGGAUCCCCCCUUCCGUCCCCGGCAUCAUGGUGAGCAGAGCACCCUCCCAAACCUAAGUGCACAAUCAUGAAUACGUAUAAGAUUAUGUUGACACGACACUAUACUCAACAACCAAUUUGCAUCGUGACAUAGUAACUAGUAACUCAAAAGUGCAACAAUAGCAUGCCUUGAGAAAUCAACAAAUCAUUAGUUCUGCACAAGCUCACAUCCAAAUUUGUUGUCUCUUUUCUGUGGUGGUGCAGUUCUUGUCUGGUGGACAGUCGGAGGUGGAGGCGACGCUGAACCUGAACGCGAUGAACCAGGCGCCGAACCCGUGGCACGUGUCCUUCUCCUACGCGAGGGCGCUGCAGAACACCUGCCUCAAGACGUGGGGCGGGCGGCCGGAGAACGUCGCGGCAGCGCAGGAGGCGCUGCUGCUGCGCGCCAAGGCCAACUCCCUGGCGCAGCUCGGCAAGUACACCAGCGACGGCGAGGCCGCAGCUGCCAAAGAGAACAUGUUCGUCAAGAACUACAGCUACUGAUCCGUCGGCGAGCUGUCCUAUCUACAUAAUCUACCUACGGAGGGAGAGUGCUAGUAGCGCCUUGAGCAGCUUGAGGGCACCUUAGCCAGCCAGUGUGUCGUCGUUGUUACAGGUCGAGACCAGCUCUGAUGGAAGAGAUGGACGGAGAGCAUAUACUGUGUUUUACCACCCUAAGUAAAAAAACUUUGGAAUGGUUUUACUGCUGUAUUCGCAUGUUUUUUUUCUUCUCUAGAGCGUUGUUGUUGCCUUUGUUUGCCACCCUAAGUAAGUAAGUAUAUGAACAAUCUCAAGCGCCCGUUUGGAACACGGUAAUUUUUCUUGGAGCAUAUUGAUCCAUCUGUUUGCUGGAACCACUGCAGAUCUCGCGUGAAAUUCCUGCGUUCCAAUUUCUCGAGUGCAGGACCAAAAAUUGACAAAUGGUGAAUUUCGUAUGAACCCCGUGGCCGUGGGGCACAAGCUCAUGCAUCUAACAGGGACCUGCUUGAGUAUAUAGCAAAAAACUAUCACAUUACGGGCUAAAGUUUGAAAAACUAUCUUUUUUAAUUAAAAAAACUACCACAAAAUUGGUUUGCUGUUUUGAAAAACUACCAUGUCACACUCAUAAAUAUGUUAAUUAAAUUUAAACGUUAUUAUGACAGCUCGGGUCCACUCGUCAGGUUGACCAUUGACAGGUUAUGAUAGGUGGACCCAAAUAUUUUUUGAAUUACAGUCAGGUCACUGGAAAAAAAAUAUAAAAAGCAAUCGGGUCCCUGGAAAAAAUAUAAAAAGCAAUCGGAAACUCGCGGGCGAGCUCGUUGCCGGAGACGGGUCGAGCGUCAUGGUGGCCGGCCCCGGUGGCCGCGAGAAGUGGCUACGACGGACGUGGUGGUGGUCGGCCCCGACGGCCGUGGGGAGUGGUUGCACCGGGCCUGGUGGUGGCCGGCCCCGGUGGCUACGUCGGGCAUCGUGGUGGUGGUUUUUGCGUGCUGCGUGCCGGCCGCCGCCGCCGCCGCUGCUCCUGCGUGCCGCCCGCCGUUGCCGCUGCAGCUGCCGGCCGCCGAUGCUGUUGGUCGGGAAAGGAGAGGAAGAACAAGGAGAGAAGAAAGAUAAGGGAGGGAGAGAGAGCACCCUAACAUGUGGGUUUAGGAGCGGGCCCGACUUGUCAUAAACCAGAUUAAUUCUAAGGCCCUGUUUGGAACCACCCAGAUUAUAUAAUUCAGUUUUUAUAAUCUAUUCUGUCUCCAAACAGGACAUCUUAUGGUAUAGAUUAUAAAAACUAGAUGGAUAGAUUAUUAAAAACUCAUAAUCUACUCUAUACCAGCUAAAAUCAGAUUAUGGAUUGCUAAUGACCCAUUACCCUUGUAAAGUUAUAGAUAAUUACAUUCCUACCACCGCCAUCCUUCUCUUUUUUACAAAAAAACACAGGGCAGACAGGUCAUUAUGCAAUGUAAAAUAUGGAUUACAGUUUAUAUAAUCUGGCCUCCAAACAUGUCCACCUAGAUUAUUUUUAUAAAGCAGAUUAUAUAAUCUAUCUUCAUAAUCCAGAUUAUCAUAAUCUAUUAUGGUUCCAAACAGGGCCUAAAUCACAUUGUCAUUUAGGUUUUUUGGUACAACGAAACAAUUUUGUGAUACAAUUUUGAAAAAAUAAAAAAGUGGUAGUUUCUUAUGGUUAACGCGUGCAAGGAAGGCAUAGGGUUGCACACACAUUUUUUUCCAAACUGUCGUCAUAAAUCCCUUGAGCUCUCUCUAACCGCACUCUCUCUCCCUCUUACUCUCUCCCAAGUGUACCUCCCUGCUACAAUUUUGAUGUAAUUUUUUAAAAUAUUUUAGAAAAGUUAUGUUAAAUUUUGUGCCAUUCUAAGACUUCUUAUUUUUGGGUCAUUUUUCUAUGCAUGGAAAACUAAGAAAAUAGGAUAAUCAUGGCAUUUUAUUUUUUCUGUAGGAAAGAGAACAAAAAAAUAAACUUGUGAAACACAGAGUUGUGAAUGCUCAAUUCAUCAAUCACAUGUCUUUAAAAAAGGAUCCAUUAAUAAGGCUGAUCAAGUCUUAUUAAUAACCAUUUCCGAUUGACAUGAAACCGAAGAAUCUUCAUAUAUCACUAGGUUACCUCAAUGGGGAUUUGCAUCUCCUCACAAUAAAAUUGUAAUAUUUCUGCUUGGCAGUAAAAAAGAGGGAUUUGAAAAUCGCCAACGAUGACCGUGACACAUGGCUCAAUGAUGUUAAUAUUAUUAACCAAAGUUUGUUUCUUCGAAAAAUGCACGGUAUGUUGCUUGCCAUGGACAUGCAAAGUAACUUUACUUUUGUUGCAAUCAAUAACAACCCGUCCAGUAUUUAGAAUGGGUCUACCAAGGAUGAUCGACAUAUUGUCAUCCAUGAGCAUAUCAGGAAUUACAAAGUCUGUUAAGAUAGUAACAUUCGCAACCACAAUAGGAACAUCCUCACAAAUUCCAAUAGGUAAAGCAAUGAAUUUAUCACUCAUUUACAAAGUUAUCUCACUGGGUGUAAGCUUAUUCAGAUCUAGUCUUUUAUAUAGAGAAAAGGGCAUCAGACUAACACCGGAUCCUAAAUCACAUAGAUCAUUUUUAACAUAGUUUCUUUUUCAUAGAGCAAGGUAUAGUGGGUAUGCAGGACCUCCAAACUUUUUAGGUACUCCACCAUGAAAAGAAUAAUUAGCAAGCAUAGAGGAAAUUUCAGUUUCAUAUAUUGUUCUUUUGUUGGUAAUAAUAUCCUUCAUACACUUGGCAUAUAGAGUGCGCAAAAAGACAGGUCUAAUCAUUUCAGCAAAGCGCUCAAAUUCUUCCUCGUCCGCACCUUUAGAAAGGCUUGCGAGGGAAGGGCAUGGAUUUCUGAACCCAUGACUCUCUUUUCCGUGCAUUCUAGCAACAAAGUCCCUUUACCAUAACAUUUAUUCUUAGGAGGUGGGUUAUCAAGAUCUUCAGCAGGUUCUAUUUCCACAUCAUUGUUAGGGUCCUUAUUACUAUCUCGUGGAUCUUCUACAUGAACAUCAUUAUUACCAUUUUCAUUAUCACUACUCCCUAUAUCCAUAUAUAUAGGGCCUAAUGCGUUUUUCAAGGCUAACUUUGAUCAUAUGUUAGAGCAAUAAUAUAUGACAUGCAAGUUACACAAAGCAUAUCUUCAAAUUCGUUAGUAAAAGGAGCUUUCAAUGAUAUAAUUUUGACAUUAUACAUCUCAUAUACUAUUAAUCUUAUCAAUAGUCAAAGUUAAUCUUGAAAAAUGCAUUAGGCCCUAUAUAUAUGGAUGAAGGGAGUAGGUUUAUGUUCACUACCAAAUUGUUGUUCGAAAUAUGCCCUAGAGGCAAUAAUAAAUUACUUAUUAUUAUAUUUCCUUGUUCAUGAUAAUCGUUUAUUAUCCAUGCUAUAAUUGUAUUGAUUGGAAACUCAAAUACAUGUGUGGAUACAUAGACAACAUAUUGUACCCAGUGAGCCUUUAAGGACUAGCUCGUUGAUCAAAGAUGGUCAAGGUUUCCUGACCAUAGACAUGAUUUGUCAUUUGAUAACGGGAUCACAUCAUUAGGAGAAUGAUGUGAUGGAGAAGACCAAAACUAUGAACGUAGCAUGUGAUCGUGUUAGUUUAUUGCUACUGUUUUCUUCAUUUCAAGUAUCUGUUUCUAUGACCAUGAGAUCAUGCAAAUCCCGGGCACCGGAGGAAUACAUUGUCUGUAUCAAACAUCGCAACGUAACUGGGUGACUAUAAAUGUGCUUUACAGGUAUCUCUAAAGGCGUCUGUUGGGUUUGUCACUUCGUGUGACGGAGAGGUAUCUCGGAGCCCACUCGGUAAUACAACAUCACAAGAAGCCUUGCAAGCAACGUGACUAAGGAGUUAGUCACAUGAUAUUGUAUUACGGAAUGAGUAAAGAGACUUGCCAGUAACGAUAUUGAACUAGGUAUGGAGAUACCGACGAUCGAAUCUCGAGCAAGUAACAUAUCGAAGGACAAAGGGAACAUCAUAAGGGAUUAACUGAAUCCUUGACAUGCAGGUUCAACCGAUAAAGAUCUUCGUAGAAUAUGUAGGAGCCAAUAUGGACAUCCAGGUCCCGAUAUUGGUUAUUGCCUAGAGAGUGUCUCAGGUCAUGUCUGCGUAGUUCUCGAACCCACAGGGCCUGCACACUUAAGGUUCGGUGACAUUUCGGUAUUAUUGAGUUAUGUAUGUUGGUGACCGAAAGUUGUUUGGAGUCCUAGAUGAGAUCCCGGAUGUCACGAGGAGCUCCAAAAUGGUCCGGAGGUAAAUAUUAAUACAUAGGAAAGUUGCAUUUGGCUUCCGGAAAGUUUUCGGGCAUUACCGGUAAAGUACCGGAGUGAAGAAUGGGUUCCGUGGUUUUACCGGGAGGGGCCACCCACCCGAGAGAGAACAUAAUAGGCCUAAAGGUGGUGCACCAGCCCUUAGUGGACUGGUGCAGCCAGCCCAAGAGGGCGUAUUUCGGCCAAGAGGUGAGGAAAGGGAAGAAAACCCCAAAGGAGAAGAAGGAUUCCAAGUUGGAGAGGAAUCCUACUUGGAGUAGGAUUGGAGGUGGACUCUUCCACCUCCUCCUAGGUUGGCCGAACACCUAAAGGGUUUUGGGAUGCCUCCUCCCCUCCCUACCUCCUAUAUAUAGUAGAGGAUUUGAGGGCAGCCCUAACCCUAACAAGCCACGUGGUGCCCUCUUUCUCUCUAGAUCGUUUUCUCCUCUAGAUUAGUUCCGCAGCGCUUGGCGAAACCCUGAUGGAUUGCCCACCACCACAACCAUGCCACCGUGCUGGAGAACUCAUCUACCUCUCCGCCUCUCUUGCUGGAUCAAGAAGGCAGAGAUCUUCACUGAGCUGUACGUGUGUUGAACACGGUGGUGCCCUUCAUUCGGCACUAGAUCGGAAGGACCAUGAUGAGAUCACGGGACGGAUCGUGAUGAGAUCGUGGGAUGGAUCGUGAUUGGAUUGCGAAGACGUACGACUACAUCAACCACUUUAUAUACACUUCCACUUAGCGAUCUAUAAGGGUAUGUAGAUGCACUCUUCCGUCUCGUAGAUGGUCAUCACCAUGGAUAGAUCUUGUGUGCGCGUAGGAAUUUUUUUGUUUCCCAUGCGACGUUCCCCAACAAUUGUGUCUCGGCAUAAAAAAUAGAAACAUCAUUAUGAUUCUCAGCAGGUUUCUCAAUAUCAGGUUCACCAAUAGCAUGCAAAGUCCUAUCAUUUUUUAUUUUUCUUCUUAGAAGGACUAGGUACAUGAUGUAUACUACACAACUUUAUUCCUGUAGACUAUGUUGGGCCUCCAAGCACAAUGUUUUGUAGGACAGUAGCAAUUUUCCCUCAAGUGGAUGACCUAAGGUUUAUCAAUCCAUGGGAGGUGUAGGAUGAAGAUGGCCUCUCUUAAACAACCCUGCAAUCAAAUACAAAAAAUCUCUUGUGUCCCCAACACACCCAAUACAAUGGCAAAUUGUAUAGGUGCACUAGUUCGACGAAGAGAUGGUUGAAAGGAUCGAUAUGGUUGGCUAGAGGGGGGGGGGGUGAAUAGACAACGACCACUUUUUAAUUAAUCUUAACAAGUUAAGGUAAACACUAUACGGGUUCACAAAUAAUAUGACAAAGAGGUGACCCCUAUAGAAGCUAUCAACAAGACCUAUUAAGACAAGUAAGAUAUUGUCACAAGGAAAAGCAAAUACAAAGUAAAGGUUAGAGAUAACCACAAGUGGAACUGAUGGAGACGAGGAUGUGUUACCGAAGUUCCUUCCCUUUGACAGGAAGUACGUCUCCGUUGGAGCGGUGUGGAGGCACAAUGCUCCCCAAAAAGCCACUAAGGCCACCGUAUUCUCCUCACGCCCUCGCACGAUGCAAGGUAUCGUGAUUCCACUAUAGGUGCCCUUGAAGGCGGCGACCGAACCUUUACAAACAAGGUUGGGGCAACUCCACACAAAGCUUGGAGGCUCCCAACAAGACCACGAAGCUUCACCACGAUGGAAUAUGGCUUCGAGGUGACCUCAACCGUCUAGGAUGCUCAAACACCCAAGAGUAACAAGAUCCGCAAGGGAUAGGUGGGGGAAUCAACUUUUCUCUUGGUGGAAGUGUGGAUCUAGGCCUUCUCAACCAAUCCCUAAAGAAUCAACAAGUUUGAUUGGCUAGGGAGAGAGAUCAGGCACUUUUAAGCUUGUGGAGCAACAAUGGAGCUUAGAGAGGUGAGAGAUAGGGUUCCUCAGCUAGAAGAACCCUUUAUAUAGUGGGGGGAAAAUUCAGACCGUUUUCCCACUCUCUGCCCGAGAUCCAGCGGUACUACCGCUGGGAAGGAGCGGUACUACCGCUGCUUGGCGGUACUACCGCUGUAUGCAGCGGUACUACCGCUGGGGCUUCCAGCGGUACUACCGCUGGUCCUUGGUAGUGCAUAAGUACUACUACCGCCGAGAAAGUCUUCGCAAAAGGGUCCGUCCACGAACUACCGCUAGGUAGGUGGAACAGGGCACCUGGAGCGGUACUACCGCCAGCCAGGGCGGUACUACCGUCAGCCUGGCGGUACUACCGCUGACCAGGGGCGGUACUACCGCUGGCAGUCCAGCGGUACUACCGCUGGGACCAGCGGUACUACCGCUGGGACCAUUUUGCCGAGACGCAAAGAACAAAACGGCGAGGGCCGCUCCAUGGAUAAAGGAAAGGGAGAAAAUAGAGGUGUGCGUGUGCAAAGAUAGAUUCCACCCAAACCUUUCCACUACGGAUCCCCUCUUAAUUGUACGGCUUUCCUAUGACUCAAAUGAAGAGAAUCUAGGAUAGCGCCAUGCUUCCGUUCCCGAAGAGAGGAGUCGUGUCGUCUUGUGCCGUUGACGAAUGUUGCCUGAAACCUUGACACACACGAUUAGUCCUGUACGGUACUGUCAUCAAUCACCAAAAUUACUUAGGCAUAAAUUAUGCCUCAACAAUGGUGAUACAAGUGUAGUAUGGAGAGUAGAUAUAGGUUUUUGUAAUCUAAAAAUAUAAAACAGCAUGGUAGCAAGUGUAAAACAACGAGCAACACGUUGUAUAAAUGCUUGGAAAUAAGGCCUAGGGUUAAUACUUCCACUAGUGCAAUCUCUUAUCGAUGCUAACAUAAUAGAAUCAUAUGAUCAUCCCUCAAUGUGCAACAAAGAAUCACUCCAAGUUACUAUUAGCGGAGAACAAUAAUAUGAAAUUGGUGUAGGUAGUAGAACCACCUCAAAAUUAUUCUUUUUGAUCAACCUUUUGAGCUAUUCCUAUAAGUGUCACAAACAGCCCCAGAGUUCGUACUAGAAUAACACCCAUGAUACAUAUCAAUCAACCCUAGUGUCACCUAGAUACUCCAAUGUCACCUCAAGUAUCUGUAGGUGAAUUAUGCGAUAUGUAUCAAACAAAUUCAGAUCUAUCAUAUUCAAUCCAACACAAAGAACUUCAAGGAGCACCCCAAGAUUUCUAUGGGAGAACAUAGUAUGAAAACGUGCAAUCAACCCCAAUGCAUAAAUCCCCAAGGUCAUCGGAUCCGCAAGUUGAUGCCAUAACAUAUGUCAAGUAAAUCACUUGAAUACCCUAAUGUCACUACGGGUAUCCGCAUGCAAGACAUACAUCAAGUGUCCUCAAACCAAAUAUUCAAUCCAACAUAACGAGAUCUUAAAGGCAAAUAUUCAAUUCAUCACAACAAGGUAGCAAGUGAAUAACAUCAUAUGAUCCAACUAGAUUAACAAGGCCCGUGAUACAUCAAGAUUGUGCCAUAUUAAGAACAUGAGAGAGAGAGAGAGAUUGAACACAUAGCUACUGGUACAUACCCUCAGCCCUGAGGGAGAACUACUCCCUCCUUGCCAUGGCCUCCGCCGGGAUGAUGAAGAUGGCCACCAAAGAUGAUUUCCCCCUCUGACAGGGUACUGGAAAGGCUCCAGAUGGAUUUUUCGUCUAUACACAUAGUUGCGGCAGCGGAGCGGAAGUUCUCUCUUUAUUUCUAGGGUCUCUGGUAUAUAAAGGAUGUUCAACGUUUGAAUCACGCCAAAUGGAGCCACAUGGGCCCUACAAGCCAUCAAGGCGUGACCUAGGGGGUGCGCCAUGUUGGCUUGUGGCCCACAGGUGGCUCCCCUUCGGUGGUUCUUCGCUCCAAUAUUUCUUAUUUCCUCCCGAAAAAAAUACAAAAAGUUUCGGGCGAUUCCGAGAACUUUCAUUUUUUGCACAAAAAGUUUCGGAGAGUGUCUCAGGUCAUGUCUGCAUAGUUCUCGAACCCGCAGGGUCUGCACACUUAAAGUUCGAUGACGUUUCACUAUUAUUAAGUUAUGUAUUGUAAUGCCCCAGAGUGUUACUUGCCUGAUUUGGAACCUUCAUGUAUGUGGGUCCAUCAUGUCAUUGAUAUGAGAGUUAUAUUUCAUGUGGUAUUUUAUGUGCAUUUCUUGUUUCCCUUGCAUGCAUGCAUCCAUAUCAUUCCAUGCCUCUUGUGUUUGUUGUUAUUGUGAAUCCAUGUAUGUGGUGUGACAUGUGAUGAUGAUAUGUGAUGUGAUGAAGUGGUGUAUUUGAAAGUGGGGUGCAACUUUGCUAGUUUUCAAAUAGGUUUCAAAACCCCCCUCUCUAUUUCUCAAAGCUCAAGUUUUACUUGCCCUAUCCCUGAUUAAAAAAUGUUUAUAUUUUAGAGUGUAUUGUGGUGGAUGUGAUGCUAGGAUUAAAGUGUUUUGAAUCUAUGUUUGAGAGGGGUAAAUAUUCAGAAAACAGUUUAAUUAAUUCUGUUUUGUAACUAUUUAAAUGCUCCAAAAAUUCCUUUUUCAUUUUAUGUAAAUAGGUCUUAAUUCCCUUAUGUCCAGGGGCAUUUUUGUUUUAUUUUAGCAUCAACACUGUGGCCUGUGUAUUUAUUUUGUCUCUGUUUUGUUUUAAAUAAAAAAACCCAGUGGGUUUUUCUUUUUCUUAUGUGGGCAUCCGAGUGGGCUUCCUCCCCCUGGCUGGACCAACUAAUCCCUCGCGCAACAGCCUGCUCCUAUAGACGGCGUCUCCCCCCUCCCUCCUACCGUCAGUUUCGUCAGAGAGAGAGCAAGGCAGAGAGGUCGACGCCGUUGCUCACGGACGUCGAGGCGACCUCCCUCGCCCUUUAUUUAACCCCUUGGUGUGCGUGCCCUGGCUAGGGUUCCCUCCCAGCGCCGCCACCUCCUUUCCCUUCUUCCUCCUCUCUCUCGCUCGUCGACAACAGGUAAGCGAGCCCCUCCUCCACCAUGGCCGAACCUUGAGGAGCUCAUUGCCAUCGUUGUCGUGCCCCUGCUUCCUCUCCAAGCCUUCGGCGAGCACGCGGGACCUCAAGGGAGCCCGUUCCCGCAGCCAAUCGACGCCGAACGCCACUGCUUCCCCUACUUCCUCGACGUCGUCUUCCUCCUCUGCUCCGACAAGAUCUGCUGCGGCUUCUUCCUCCUUGUCGACAUCUUCUUCCUCCACGUCAAUCCUGUCCUCCUCGAUGCUCCCUAGGUGAGCUAGCCGCAGUCCCAUCCCGAUCCUGACGUGUAGGUUCCUGCCUAGGCCGUAGCUGUGCCGCCACGCUUCCCUCUGUCACCGGCGCCGUCGUGCACGUUGUUGCAGUAGCUGUAGGCCACCACUCGUCGCGUUUAGGCCUGAAAUGAGACUGUGAGUGUUCCCUCUUCCUCCUAGCGAUGAGCCCGUGCUCAAUUUGUAGUAGAUCGCCGGCGGUGUGCCUCCCCUGUUCCGGCCACCGUCGGGUUGUGAUAGAUCCAGAGGGGGUUGCUCAAAAGAGCAGAGUCCCCCUCUUUGUUAACCUCCGAUAGCGCAACACAGCGGCAACAGUGUGUUUUACCUCGCGCAGGUCGUGGGUUCGAGUACCCGCAGCGCCCCUUUUUGGUGUUUUUUUUCGACACAGUAGCAACAGGAGGGGAAGCAUAUCCUGUAUACUCCCUCUGUUCUGUCGAGCAAGAGUGUUGUAGCGCAGUGCUAGUGGUGUUGUGUGUGGUGCAGCAGGUCAUGGGUUCGAAACCCCUCUGACCCCCUUUUAUUUUUUUUAUUUCUUUUUGUGUUGCUAUGUUGCUGUUUCAACUAGGUGCUUCAUAUCUUUGCUUGAGCAGCAAGUGGAGGUGUUCCUACAUCAUAACCAGUAGGUUUUUCACCUAUGUUUUAGUUAGUGUGCUUGUGUAGUUAGUGAUGCUUAUGUAUGUGAUUGUGCUAGUGUAUGUGUGUAGGAUAUAUAUGUGUGAGCAAGCAUCUAUGUGCAUGUGUGCUUGUGUGGUACAAGCACCCAAGAGCAUGUGUAGGUGCAUGUGGUGCAUGUGUGUGUGCUUGUGCAUGUGUGCACUAGUGCAUGUGCAUGGGGUGUGUGCUUGGGAGUGUGCAAGCAUCCAUGUGUUGUGUGAGUGUGUAUGGGUCCUUGUGGUGCAUGUGUGUGUGUGACACCCACAUGCCCAAGGCAUGGAUUUACCUUAGGAGCACUUGUGUGCAAGCUUGUAUGUGUGUGUGUAGUGAUAGUGGUGUGAGUGCAAGUAUGUGUGUGUGUGGAGACUAGCAUGUGUAGGUGCCAGGUGUGUAUGCUUGGUGUAUGGUGAUGUGCUAUGGCACACAUACAUGAGGUCUAAACCCUCAUGUCACCAUUGGAGUUGUGAGUGUGUGCAAGUGCAUGCGUAGGUGAUGAUGUAGUGAGAAACACAUGUGAUAUGGCACUAUUUGCAUUUAUGUGAUUCCAUGUAGUUUUUCAUCUUAGCUUUGUGCCUAUUUGUUCUAUGCAAGUACCUAGGUAUUAUAUAUGUUUUUGGGGUAGAAUCAUCCCAGGAAUCCAUUGGUGGAAUCAGAUUUCCCUUUGGAACACUUUCUGGAAAUGUCAUUUUUUUGUUUUGAACUAUGUUUAGAGCUUGGUGCCAUGUGGUGUGAUGAGCCUAAGAGGAUGAUUCCUUGAUGUGGCAGUAGUGGGUGAACCCCUCUACAGCAUGGUGGUUUUGCUUUAUGCUUAGGAGUUUGUAUGUGCAAGUUGUGCUUUGUCAAAGUAGGCUUGUGGCUGAAAUUGUCAAAACUGCUGUUAUUUUCUUCCCUUGUAGUUGUGGUUGCAAAAGUUCAUGUGUUGGGAAUUAGCCCUUGCAAUCAACUAGAGAGUUUUAGCUUUUGUGUUUGUCUAGCUCUCUGUCAAUUUUCAUUCUCUUUCACUUCCUGUAGAUAUUGUUUUGGGGGCUUUCAAAAUGCUUCAAAGCAUAAACAGCUGGUGAGAAUCUGAGAUUUUCACUAAGUCCCCAAAAUCUGUUAUUUUUGUCCAAGUUAGCAGUUGUAGAUCUUUCCGUGAGUAACUCAUUUGUAUUAUCUUUUUUCUCAUGCUUGUAGAGCUUUUGAAUAGCUUUUGCCACAUAUCUUGUUUGGCACAUUUGGGUGGUUGUAGGUGCUUUGCAUGUUGCUCUCAAACUGCUAUGUUGCUGUUUAGGACAGAUUGUAUAGUUUUGUUCUUUUGAUGCUUGUGAGUGCAUAGUUGAUGGUGUGGUGAGUUUCUUUUAUCCACCCCACCUAUACUUGUUUGUUUGGUCAUGUGGCAACCUGGGAGUACCAGAAGUAUGCCAUUGGAGAGUGCUUGUGGUAGAAUUGACCCGUAGAGACUCCAUAUGUUAUUUCGUAGUUUCCGGUUGAUCCGUAGCUCCGUUCUCAACGUUCUUUAUAUGUUUUUGCAUCAUUUUCGCGUGAUGCAUCUGUUCAUUUCAUAUUCAUGCAUGUCAAGAUAGCUUAGGGAGAAGUUAUGUCCAGAACUUUGUCUUUUCUUCUCAUGCAUAUGCAAGUGACUAGAAUAGAGAUGCAUGUUACAUUCUCAUCUCAUGCAUCAUGUGGUGUUGUUGUUCAUUGGAUGGUAUUUUUAUGUUGGGUAGCACCGGGAUCGGAGAGCGAGUACGUGGAUUCGGGAAAGUACGUGCAUGACAAACAAGAGCAGUUCCAAGCUGAAGACAUCACAGGCAAGAUGACCAUGACCUUGAUACCGUCUCUAGCUUUGUUAUGCCUAGAUUCACGUUUCCUUCGUCAUAUGCUCGCUGCCUACCACUGAAAUAAUUGCCUCCUGAUAUUGCCAUGAAACCCAAACACUUUCCCCUCCUAGCUAAUAUUGAAUGGCUAAGUAGGCUUGCUCAGCUUCUAAUGUUAGCGUUGCUAGUUGCAGGUGCAAUUGUCUCAUGUGAUAACAUGAGUUUGAUAUCAUUAUCUUUAAUUCUGUUAUUUAAUUAAUGCACCUAUAUACUUGGUAAAUAACGGAAGGCCUAGCCUCUUGCCGGGUGUUUUGUUCCGUUAUUGCCGCCUUAGUUUCCGGCUACCGGUGUUUGAUUCCAUAACUGAUCGCUCCUAACACGUUCGGGGUUGUUAUGGGGACCCCCUUGAUAAAUCAUGUAGUGUUAAGACUUGUCCCACAGGACCCAACAUUGGUUUUUAAUUUGCUAAUCACUUAAUAAUAAUAAUGCAUAGGGAAUAGCUACCCCGUGGAAUUAAUCAACAACCCGGGCCAGUGCUCCUCAUGAGUGUUGGUCCACCCACCUAGCAGUCGGCAAUACCACCUCAGGGAAACUUGAGGCAUUGGUCAUUGUCCACUAUGCAUAGACGGUGUUGUCCUGAGAUUGAGAUACGCGGCUCUUAUCUGGGUCGUCGACACACCGGGAGGUCCUGCUAGCCUUGUCUUACCUUAGCGAUAUAUCUUGCGUAUAGGAAUCCCCGUGAAGCUUUGGUUCUUCCCAGAGUUGAGGUUUUCCUCUAAGGAAUCCGACGAGAUCACGAGAUUCGUGAUAGAGGAUUACUUUGCGGCCCGUGACCGUUUGUGAUGGACUAGUUGGAGCACCCCUGCAGGGUUUAAUCUUUCGUAAAGCCAUGCUCGCGGUUAUGUGGCAACUUGGAAUAUUUGUUAACAUCCGGUUAUAGAUAACUUGAACUUAAUCUAAUAAAACUGCCAACUGUGUGCGUAAUCAUGACUGUCCCCUUGGAAGACCUCUCUUCGAUCGGGAACACGGCGUGGUUAUGUUUGACGUAAGUAGGUGUUCAGGAUCACUUAGUGAUCAACUAGUCUUCGACUGCUCGCGUAGACCACCACAUCUAUAACUUGUUCUACGUAAGUUAGUCACCAUAAAUGCUUAGGAUGCUGCAACCUAAACACUGAAUCUUCCUUACCUAAUAACUUGACUAGUUUCGGUACCGAGGUCAUAGAUUGCUGAGUCCCUGUGGCUCACAGAUUACUUCAACACCCUAACAGGUACAGGUAUGCACGACACAGGUGAUCCCGAUGGCACGCAGCUAGCAUGGCAGUAUGAUGAGGAGAACGACCACCUGUACAUGAACUAUCCAGAAGACUGGGGCGUGGUCGUGAUCGUGGGCAAGCAUGCGGGAUAGCAUAGCCUUUUCUCAUGUUAUGUAGUCCGUAGCGGAACUACCUUGUCUGAAUAAAUGUGGGAUGUAAACUCUGAUAUUAUCUAUGAUAUGGCAAACGAUUCCCUAUUUGUCAUUCUUUUAUUAUGUAUGUGCUAUGUUUAUCUUGCUUGCGAAACACUUAUAUGCACUUCUUUCCAUUUUGGGGCCUCGUUCCCUAAGUCGGAAAGGACCGCAUCUUAGUCGUUACAAGUUGGUAAUGAGAGCCUUACGACCAUAUGAGCAUUUGUGUGAUCGUAGUUGGCCGAGUCGAGUCUAGUAAAAUGUUUUGAGUCUUAGUUAUAUCGGAGAGUAGGUUUCUUUUUUCUCCUCUUCCAUGCUCUGGUGAGGUUCUCGACUUAGGAAAUCUUAAUUCUACUCCUCUUCUCGCUCAAAAAAUAUUUUAGGAUCACGUGGGUAUUUUGAAAUCUAUAUGAUAUCGAUGUGACGGAGUUUUGUCUUGGUGCCUCCUGUCUGCCUUGAUUUCUUCUGGGGAGUUGAGCUCGAGGGGAUUCUUGUGCACAUCGCCAUCAUUCAGAUUUCUGAGUAUCUCAGAACAAAGGAUGUUCGUAAUUGCUUCAAUACUAGUAGUGGCGAGAUAACCCCGAUGUCCCCAGUACUGGUGCAGAUUGUUCGGGAGUACUGCCAUACUUUGUAUCGUUGUGAUCACAAGGGUCUGUGUUAGAUGAAGGUCCGAGAUUCUGGUUAUGUGUUGACGGAUGUGAUACAGUGGACGGGUUAGUAGAGGAGUUGUGUGAAUAUUACUCCUUGUAUCUGUGUACCAGAUUGCAUGACCAGAUAUUUCGGGAUUUCAUAGGUGGGAUAUAAAGUAGUGACUUAUAGGACAAUCUUCCUACAGAUGCAUGAUGUGAGGUUGGGAUACGACAUCCAGUGGGUACGUUUGUUCACGUCGUCUUACAGCGGUUCUCGUUGUGUCUUAAAGAGUCCUUGUAGCUUGCUAUGACUCGGGGAUACUUCGUAAGUCAUGUACACUACCUUGCACAUGAUGGCUACUGUAAAUUCGAGCCCGUGCGAUCUUAUCCACGAAGAUAUCGGAUGAAAUCUCGAUCAUAUGUUUGUUCCAAGCAGUUCUAGCUCAUACUUGUUUGCAAGUGGUCUUAAUCAGAAUUUUGUCGACAGUCACUUUGAGGAAGCAUUCUUACUAUUUUGUUUGAGUGCAAAUGCUAUAUUCCUGUUCAGAUAUUCCUGCCUUUUUGAUUCAGCUUUACCUUCAAUUUAUUCUGUGGGCUAAUGUGUUGUCCGUCUUCAGGAUGGCUCCACCAACUCGUCAGAAUCCAGGUCAUGAGGGUGCUGACAUGCCGCCGCCACCUCCUCCUCCAGAGAAUCCUCCUCUGCCGCCGCCUCCUCCUGCAGAGGCUUAGCAAGCGGUGAUGACUGCUACAAAUGCAAACUCUCAGAUGCUGAUAUAGUUGUUGCAAGAGAGGACUAAUCAGCAGCAAUGCAACUUCCAUCAUGGGGGCAAUCAAUUUGCUAAUCUGAGUCAGUUCCUGUCAAAUCAGCCGAAGACCUUCACGUCGUGUGACCAGCCGUUUGAUGCUGAGGAUUGGAUCCGCGACAUGAACAAGAACUUUGAAUGCAUCAAUGUUCGUCCAGAGGAUUUCGUCAAGUUUGCAACAUUCCAGCUGAAGGGGCAAGCAUCUAUCUGGUGGCAAAAGUUGAAGGAUUCCAGUGGUGCCAGAGUGAUCUCUUGGGAUGAGUUCUGCAGAGACUUCAGAUCCCACUUCAUCCCGUCCAACUUUGUGUAGGAGAUGCGUGAGAAUUUCAGGCGCUUGAAGCAAGGUGGUAACUCCGUGUACAAGUACAACGUCGAGUUCCACGAGCUAGCCCGAUAUGCCUUGCAGGACAUUCCUGAUCAGAAGAGCAAGAUUUAUCAGUUCAGAGGUGGUUUAAAAGAGGAUUUGCAGCUAGCUCUCACUUUGCACGAUCCUGAGGAGUUCAAUAAGUUCUACAAUUUAGCUCUCAGGACUGAGGUAGCUUUGCUCAGGGUGGGGAAUUCAAAGAAGUGCUUCAGAGAUUCCAGCUCGUCUUCCUCAACUCAGGUGGUUCAGAAGCAACAUAAGUAUUAGGUGUCUCCUCCUCCUCCUCAGCACACGCAGCAGUUCAAGCAUUCAGGUGGCCGUGGUUCUUCCCACCCACCCAACCCAGCUUUCUAGCAGAGGUUUCAGCAGCAGAAGCAAGGGCCUCCUUAGACACAGUACCGUCAGUCGACAGAUGUUACUUGUCACAAGUGUGGGCAGAAGGGUCACUAUGCCAACAAGUGCACUUCUCAGCUCCGUCUUCCGCCUCCUCCUCCAGGCAAACCUCCAAGCAAUGCUAUCGUGAAGUUCAACCCCAAGUCUGCUAGAGUCAAUAUGGUGAAUGCAGCUCAAGCACAGAACUCGUCAGAUGUGAUUAUGGGUAACCUCCUCGUUAAUGAUAUUCCUGCUAAGGUUUUAUUUGAUUCUGGUGCAUCGCAUUUGUUUAUCUCAAGGCCAUUCUCAUUCAAGCAUGGGUUCUCAACUCAUGAUUUGCCUAAGCCUCUAUCAAUUGUGUCUCCCGGCAAGAUCAUGAAUUCCCACAUGGUGGUUCCGAAUGUUUCUGUUAAGAUGGGUAGUUAUUCUUUUCCGGCGUCUCCUAUUGUCUUGGGCAAUUCCGACAUUGAUUUGAUCCUUGGUAUGGAUUGGUUGGCCAUGAACAAGGCAUCGAUUGAUUGUGAAGCUAAAGAAGUGAAGCUUACUCACUCUUCGGAGGACGUCUUUAUCUUCGCGGCGCGCGAUGACACAAUCCCUCUGUUCUCUUUGAAUGAAAAGGGUGAGAUUAAUCCAAUUUUGCAAGUCCCACUGGUCUGCGAAUAUGAAGAUGUGUUUCCAAAAGAACUGCCAGGAAUGCCUCCUGCUUGCUAGCAGUCCACGACAAAGACACUAGGAGAAUGUUGUUGAUGUGUGCCUGACUUGAUGCCUCCGCGGCAACAGAGCCAGAACUGCUCCCAGUUGCUCAACAAUUAGCAAUUGUCUUGCAAUGGCCCACCAGCGUGUGGGUUUGCGACAAUUUUCGAGGGUAGAGUAUUCAACCCAAAUUUGUUGGUUCACCAGACGGGAAGUGAAAGGAUACUCUCAAGUAUUAGCAGCUGAAUGUGUCGGAUUCAACCACACCUGAAAGAUUUGUAUCUGCAAGCAAAGUAUCAGUAGCAAAGUAGUAUGAUAACAACGGUGCCAGAAAUGAUAUGUUGACGGCAGACUAUUCCUAACUGUUGUAUCAAUGGCGCCAGAAGUUGACCGUGGACGGAAAAUAUUCUUUCCCGUCAACGACACGAGAAAAAGUAUUGUAGCAGGUAGCAGCAGUGUAACGAGUAACAACAGUGGCAAGGAACAACAGUAGUGACAGCAGUAAAAAGUAGCAACAGUAGCAAGUAACAGUACCAGCAGCAGUAGUAACAGCAGCAGAGCAAAACAAGUAACCACAGUAGUGGGAGAAACAUGAACUCCUCAAACUAUGGUCAUCACCGGGAGUGGUUCCAGUUAUUGUCACUCCGGGGUUGCCGGGUCAUAACACAUAGUUGGUAACUACAACUUGCAAGAUCGGAUCUAAAACACACAUAUAUUGGUGACAACAUAAUAAUUUCAGAUCUGAAAUCAUGGCACUCGGGCCCUAGUGACAAGUAUUAAGCAUGGCAAAGUAGUAGCAACAUCAAUCUCACAACAUAGUGGAUACUAGGGAUCAAUCCCCGUCAAAAUUAACUCGAUUACAUGAUAGAUCUCAUCCUACUCAUCACCGCCCAGCGAUCCUACGAAUAGAUUACUCACGAACGAUGAAGAGCUUCAUGGAAUUGGAGGGGGAAGAAGGUUGAUGAUGACGAUGGCGACGAUUUCCCCUCUCCGGAGCUCAAAACAGACUCCACAUCUGACCUCCAGAUGAAGAACAGGAUGUGGCGGCGCCUCCGUAUCGCAAACGCGAUGAAAUCUUCUCUCUUGAUUUUUUUCUGAGCGAAAGUGAAUUUAUAGAGCUGGAGUUGGGGGCAGCAGACCCAUGUGGGCCCCACAAGCUUGGUUGCCGUGGCUAGGGGGGCCGCGGCAACACGGCUUGUGGCCCACUGGCACAUCCCCUCCGGUGGAUCUUUGUGCAGGUAUUUUUCAUAUUUUCCAGAAAUAUUCUCUGUAAAUUUUCAAGACGUUCCGAGAACUUUCAUUUCUGCACAAAAACAACACCAUGACAAUUCUGCUGAAAACAACGUCAGUCCGGGUUAGUUCCAUUCAAAUCAUGCAAAUUAGAGUCCAAAACAAGGGCAAAAGAGUUCGGAAAAGUAGAUACGAUGGAGACGUAUCAACUCCCCCAAGCUUAAAACAUUGCUUGUCCUCAAGCAACUCAGUUGACAAACUGAAAGAGAAAGAAAAACUUUGACAAACUCUGUUUGAUCUUGUUGUUGCAACUAUGUCUAACUCGUAACCAGAAUUUCAGCAAUAUCACAAGUUAACCACAUAAGCAAGUGACACAAAGGUCUCACGGUAAACUAAUGUCAAUGGUAUAAUCAGCUAGCGAGCAAAUAAUAAUAAGUUUCAGAUACCAACAAUUCAAUCAAAACAAGAAGGAAGCAAUAUGAAUAGGUGGUAUCUCGCUAGCUCUUUCUGAGACCGCAAAACAUAAAUGUAGAGCACUUUCAAAGAUCAAGGGCUGACUAAACAUUGUAAUUCAUAGCAACGAAGAUCCAGUCAUAGUCAUACGCAAUAUCAAUCAAAAGCAAAGCAUAAAAAUGACAGAGGUGCUCUCUAAUUGGUGCUUAUAUAUGAAGAGGAUGACUCAAUAGGAAAAUAAAUAGGCAAGCCCUUUGCAGAGGGAAGCAUUGAUUUGCAGAGGUGCCAGAGCUCAAGCUUUGAAAACAGAUAUAAUAAUUUUGGGUGGCAUGCUUUCAUUGUCAACGCAAUGACCAAGACUUCUCAAUAUCUUCCAUGCUACUCAUGCUAUAGGCGGUUCCCAAACAGAAAAGUAAAGUUUUAACUCCCCCACCACCAAUCAAUCACACUCCACGGCUAGUCGAAUCCUCGGGUACCAUCCAUACUAACAUCAAUCCGGGGGGAGCCUUGUUUUACAGUUAUGUUUUUGAUUUAAGCGUGGAACUGGUCAUUCCAAUUACCGGCCCCUUUCUAGUGAAUGACAGUGAAUAAACACAUGUCGAGGAUAACACGCCUAACAUGGAAGAUACCAAUAGCCCCCUGUCACCACAUGAGCGGUUCGGGCAUGCAAAACAGAUUAUUUCUUGAAGGUUUAGAGAAUGGCACAUGCAAAUUUACUUGGAACGGCAGGUAAAUACCGCAAAUAGGUAGGUAUGGUGGACUCUCAUCGAAAAACUUUUGGGUUUAUGGAAGUGGAUGCACAAGCAGUAUUCCGCUUAGUACAAGUGAAGGCUAGCAAAAGACUGGGAAGCGACCAACUAGAGAGCGACAACGGCCAUCAAGAUGCAAUUAGUUUGACUAAUAUGGAGUGCAAGCAUGAACAUGAUAUAAAUCACCAUGAACACGAACAUCAUAGAGGCUAUGUUGAUUUUUUUCAACUACAUGCAUGAACAUGCGCCAAGUCAAGCCACUUGAAUCAUUCAAAGAAGAAUACCAUCCUAUCAUACUACAUCAUAGUCAUCUCAAAAUCUAUGUCGGCAUCCAAGACAAACCAUUAUAAGCUCCUAGCUAAAUAAGCAUGGCAUCAGAAACUAUGAUCUCUAAGUUGUCAUUGCAAACAUGGUUCUCUCACAACAAAGCUGAAUCUGGGACGACAAGCUAGUCAUAUUUACAAAAACAAAAUAGAUAGAGUUCAUACCAGCUUUUCCAGGCUCAGUCACUUCAUCAUAUAUCGUCAUUAUUUCCUUUCACUUGCACGACGGAAUGAUGUGAACAAUAAUAAGCGUGCUCGUGCAAUGGACUAAGCUGAAUCUGCAGGCAAACACAAAGGAGAAGACAAAGUAAUAUGGCUCUUUGAAAGCUAAACAGGUAUGCAUGCAAGAGCCACUAAACAUUGUAACCAAUAUCUUCUACCUUGACCCAAAGAAAAAGAAAACUAUUUACACGGGAAAACUCCCAACAAGCAAAAGAAGAAAGGAAAAUAUUUUUGGGUUUUCUCAAAAGGACACAAAACAAGAAAAGAAGAAAAAGAAAAUAAACUAGCAUGGAUAAUACAGUGGCAAAGUGUAAACACCGGCUAACAAGGUGAAAGCAUAAGCAUGAAUGUAAGGUCGGUGAGAACACGUACUCCCCCAAGCUUAGGCUUUUGGCCUAGCUUGGUCUACUACCAAGGACGGUCCUGGCAAAAUCCAAAAUCAUAAUCGGGGUUUUACGGGAGCGCUGCAGCCACUGCCUGAAUAGCUGCCUCAUAAAGACGCGCAGCCGUCGCCUCCCUCUCAUACUCCUUCGCCUCUCCUAUGGUUAUGUAGUAUCUCCGUUUUACCUGAAAGUCAAAGAAAGCAGGAGCAGCAAGGGUAAUAUGGAAGACACGCUGCCGGUUAAAAUCAAUCGGUAUAGGAGGGAUUCAUCAUCCUUCUCAAGGAACUGGUAAUGUGUCAUAGCGACGCGGUCAAGGAAAGCUGUAUGGAGCGGGGGAUCUUCUGCGCGGAUGGGUACUCCAAGAAAAUUUUCCAUGCGGGUGGCAUAGAUGCCGCCAAAGAAAUCCCCCUCAAUAGCAUUCUUAUUCAACCUCCUUGCUAUAAUAGCUCCAAUGUUGAAGCUUUUGUCACCCGUAACUGCGCUCUUAAGGAUACUAAGGUCGGAUGCGCAUAGGUGCCAAUGUUCAACUUUACCGUUAAUGCAUCUACCUAUGAAGAGGGCAAAGUACUGCAAGGCAGGGAAAUGAAUGCUUCCUAUGGUAGCUUGCGUGAUGUCUCUAGUUUCUCCAACAGAUAUACUAGAGAAAAAGUCUCUAACCGAAGAUUUAGCAGGAUCUUUAAGAUUACCCCCAUCGGGUAUUUUGCAAAUUCUGUUAAAAUCCUCCAAAUCCAUGGCGUAGGAUUUAUCAUACAGAUCAAACAGUAUGGAUGAGUCACGGCCAACUGAAAAUUUAAAUCUACGCACAAAAGAUGAAGUGAGCAUAGCAUACUGUUCACAUUUAUCUGAGAGGAAUUCUUCUAACCCGGCAUUGCGGACAAGUGUAUCAAACUCAUCCUUGAAGCCUGCAUCGAUCAUGAACUCAUUGGAAGGCCACUCACAUGGUUGUACCGGUGCGUCCCUUAGUUGAUAAGGAUCGGGCUCCAGAAUAGAAAGAUGGGGACCCUUCUUACUUGAGGAACCACCAUGAAACUUCCUCCUGAACAUAAUUUCUUUUCCUGAAAUUUUUGAAGUUCAAGAGAAAAGUGAAUAAAGACCAACCACACCUUGUAGCAACUACUCCUACUAGUGCCUAGAGACCGUAUCACGCGCUAAAACUACUUGGGACCAGCUAAAAUCAACAUUUAAAGCUCAAGAACAGGGUCACCAAGGUAGCAAGAAUACGCGAAGGAUAAAGCACUAGAGAAAAAACUAAUUGGACCAAUGGAGGAGUCACUUACCAAGGAGUAAUUUCCCCAAAACGGUUCGGAGAAUGGUGCUUUGAGCAAGGAGAUCGAAAAUCACAGCCAAAUGAGCAAGACCACGGGUUUGAGUUGCGAAACGUUUUUUUCUGGAGGAAGAAGAAGAGGAUGGGAGCCGGAAUGAGUGGAGGGGGUCCCUGUGGGCCCCACAAGCUUGCUUGCCGCGGCCAGGGGGUUGGCCGCGGUGAAAGGUCUUGUGGCCCACUGGUGUGGCCCCCGGGCUAGCUCUCAGUCCCAGUAUUUUUCAAAUAUUCCAAAAAAAAUCAUACUAGAUUUUCAGGACCAUCGAAGAACUUUUAUUUUCGGGGUAUUUUUCUCCGGGAUGCUAAAACAGGAAACAGGAAAAACUAAACUAAACCUAUCAUUUUUCUUCUAAGCAAAAUAAAGUGAAAGCUUAAAACACAGGUAUGUGACUCUUUGAUUCAUCCAUUUCAUGGUCAUCGAAAGAAAUCCGUCAAUGGGGUUGAUCAAAUCCUUAUGACAAAACUUUCUCGAAUUGCAAAAGAGAACCGAGAAUUUUUUAAUAGCCACUAAGUUACCUCAAUGGGGAUAUGUAUCUCCCCAACAAGCAAAUCAUAAUUCAUCUUGACAUGAGGAAUAUGGCAUUCAAAGCUCCCAAUAAGAAUCGAUGAAGGUUUUUCGAUAGCAUUGAUGUAAUGUACUUGACAUCGUUUCUUCGGAAAGUGCACGGUAUGCUCAUUACUGUUGACAUGGAAAGUGACAUUGCCUUUGUUGCAAUCUAUAACAGCCCCUGUACUGUUUAAAAAGGGUCUUCCGAGGAUGACAACCAUGGCAUCGUCCUCGGGAAUAUCCAAGAUAACAAAGUCUGUUAAGAUAGUGGUGUUAGCAACCACAACAGGCACAUCCUCGCAAAUGCCGACAGGGAAAGCAGUUGAUUUGCCGGCCAUUUGCAGAGAGAUUUCAGUGGGUGUCAACUUAUCCAGUUCAAGUCUACGAUAAAGAGAGAGAGGCAUAACACUAACACCGGCUCCAAGGUCACAUAAGGCAGUUCUUACGUAGUUUCCUUUAAUGGAGCAAGGUAUAGUGGGCACUCCGGGAUCACCAAGUUUCUUAGGAGUUCCACCUUUGAAAGUGUAAUUGGCAAGCAUGGUGGAGAUCUCAAGAUCUGGUAUCUUCCGUUUAUUGGUCACGAUAUCUUUCAUGUACUUGGCAUAUGGAGACAUUUUGAGCAUAUCAACUAACCGCAUCUGCAGAAAGACGGGUCUUAUCAUUUCAUUAAAGUGCUCAAAAUCCUCAUCAUCUUUUUUCUUGAAUGGCUUAGGAGGGAAGGGCAUAGGUCUCUGAACCCAUGGCUCCCUUUCUUUGCCAUGCUUCCUAGCAGUGAAGUCAUUCUUAUCGUAUCUCUUAGGUUGUGGGUUAUCAGGAUUAACCGUAGGUUCAAUCUCCACAUCCUUAUCAUUGCUAGGUUGAGCAUCAUUAUGAACAUCGCUGUCCAUAUUGUCACCAGGUUCAUGUUCAUCACCAGAUUGUGUUUCUGCAUCACACGCAGAAAUAUCAUUUGGUUCUUCAGGUGUGACCGUAUUUGGUGAACUAUCAUGCAGGUUUCUAUCAUCCUUCUUCUUCUCCUUAGUAUGACUGGGUGUAUCAGCAUUAAUUCCUUGAGAAUCUUGAUGACACAGUUGUCAUCUAAUUCAUUGAGCAGGUCAUUCUGAGCUUUAAGUACUUGUUCUACCUGAGUAGUAAUCAUAGAGGCAUGUUUACUCAGAAGCUUCAGAUCAUUGACAUUUUUGUCUACACAAGCACUUAAAUGACUAAGCAUACGUGUACUUUGUUCCAAAUGUCUGCUAACAUAAUCAUUGAAACUCUAUUGUUUGGCAACAAAGUUGUCAAAUACAUCAAAUUAAGCAUAGGCUAGCAGGUUUAUCAAAAGGAAUAUCACUCUCAUCAAACUACGCAGAGAAUUUACUUCCACUACGUGUAUCGGGUUAUCGAGACCAUGAAUCUCUUCGAUAGGUCGUAGACUUUUGACAUCUUUAGAUCUAAUGCCUUUCUCUUGCAUAGAUUUCUUGGCUUCUUGCAUAUCUUCGGGACUGAGGAAUAGAGUACCUCUUGCUGGAAAUAUGCCCUAGAGGCAAUAAUAAAUUAGUUAUUAUUAUAUUUCUUUGUUCAUGAUAAUCGUUUAUUAUCCAUGCUGUAAUUGUAUUGAUUGGAAACACAGUGCAUGUGUGGAUACAUAGACAAAACACUGUCCCUAGUAAGCCUCUAGUUGACUAGCUCGUUGAUCAAAGAUGGUCAAGGUUUCCUGACCAUAGGCAAGUGUUGUCACUUGAUAACGGGAUCACAUCAUUAGGAGAAUCAUGUGAUGGACUAGACCCAAACUAAUAGACGUAGCAUGUUGAUCGUGUCAUUUUGUUGCUACUGUUUUCUGCGUGUCAAGUAUUUUUUUCCUAUGACCAUGAGAUCAUAUAACUCACUGACACCGGAGGAAUGCUUUGUGUGUAUCAAACGUCGCAACGUAACUGGAUGACUAUAAAGAUGCUCUACAGGUAUCUCCGAAGGUGUUUGCUGAGUUAGUAUGGAUCAAGACUGGGAUUUGUCACUCAGUAUGACGGAGAGGUAUCUCGGGGCCCACUCGGUAAUACAACAUUACACACAAGCCUUGCAAGCAAUGUGACUUAGUGUAAGUUGCGGGAUCUUGUAUUACGGAACGAUAAAAGAGACUUGCCGGUAAACGAGAUUGAAAUAGGUAUGCGGAUACUGACGAUCGAAUCUCAGGCAAGUAACGUAGCGAAGGACAAAGGGAAUGACAUACGGGAUUAUAUGAAUCCUUGGCACUGAGGUUCAAACGAUAAGAUCUUCGUAGAAUAUGUAGGAUCCAAUAUGGGCAUCCAGGUCCCUCUAUUGGAUAUUGACCGAGGAGUCUCUCGGGUCAUGUCUACAUAGUUCUCGAACCCGCAGGGUCUGCACACUUAAGGCUCGAUGUUGUUUUAUGCGUAUUAGAGUUAUAUGGUUGGUUACCGAAUGUUGUUCGGACUCCCGGAUGAGAUCACAGACGUCACGAGGGUUUCCGGAAUGGUCCGAAAAUGAAGAUUGAUAUAUAGGAUGACCUCAUUUGGUUACCGGAAGGUUUUCGUGCAUUACCGGAAAAGUUUCGGGCUCAUCGGUAGUGUACUGGGAGUGCCGGGAGGGGUGCCGGGGACCAUCAGGAGGGGUUUCACGCCCCAAGGGGUCUCAUGGGCUAUGGGAAGAGAUAAACCAGCCCCUAGUGGGCUGGAAUAAGUUCCCACUAAGACCCAUAAGGUUUGAGAAGAGAAAACACAAGGUGCAAAGAGUUUCCAAGUGGGAAGGUGGAAUCCUACUCCAAGUAGGAUUGGAGUAGGACUUCUCCACCUCCAAUUUCGGCCAAACCUUUAGGUUUUGAGUCUGCCUCCUCCCCUCCCUCCCUCCUAUAUAUAGUGGGGUUUUAGGGCUGAUUUGAGACAACUUUUGCCACGGCAGCCCGACCACAUACCUCCACGGUUUAACCUCUAGAUCGCGUUUCUACGGAGCUCGGGCGGAGCCCUGCUGAGAUUAGAUCAUCACCAACCUCCGGAGCGCUGUCACGCUGCCGGAGAACUCNNNNNNNNNNNNNNNNNNNNNNNNNNNNNNNNNNNNNNNNNNNNNNNNNNNNNNNNNNNNNNNNNNNNNNNNNNNNNNNNNNNNNNNNNNNNNNNNNNNNCUCUUCUACCUCUCCGUCUCUCUUGCUGGAUCAAGAAGGCCGAGAUCAUCGUCGAGCUGUACGUGUGCUGAACGCGGAGGUGCCGUCCGUUCGGUACUAGAUCGUGGGACUGAUCGCGGGAUUGUUUGCGGGGCGGAUCGAGGGACGUGAGGACGUUCCACUACAUCAACCGCGUUCUCUAACGCUUCUGUUGUACGAUCUACAAGGGUACGUAAAUCACUCAUCCCCUCUCGUAGAUGGACAUCACCAUGAUAGUUCUUCGUGCGCGUAGGAAAUUUUUUGUUUCCCAUGCGACGUUCCCCAACAGUGGCAUCAUGAGCUAGGUUCAUGCGUAGAUGUCUUCUCGAGUAGAACACAAAAGGUUUUGUGGGCGGUGAUGUGCGUUUUGCUGCCCUCCUUAGUCUUUUCUUGAUUCCGCGGUGUUGUUGGAUUGAAGCGGCUUGGACCGACAUUACUCGUACGCUUACGAGAGACUGGUUUCAUCGUUACGAGUAACCCCCUUUGCUCAAAGAUGACUGGCAAGUGUCGGUUUCUCCAACUUUAGUUGAAUCGGAUUUGACCGAGGAGGUCCUUGGAUGAGGUUAAAUAGAAACUCAUAUAUCUCCGUUGUGGUGUUUGCGUAAGUAAGAUGCGAUCCUACUAGAUACCCUUGGUCACCACGUAAAACAUGCAACAACAAAAUUAGAGGACGUCUAACUUGUUUUUGCAGUGUAUGAUUGUGAUGUGAUAUGGCCAACGAUGUGAUGUGAUAUAUUGGAUGUAUGAGAUGAUCAUGUUGUAAUAGAAAUAUCGACUUGCACGUCGAUGGUACGGCAACCGGCAGGAGCCAUAGGGUUGUCUUUAUACUAACAUAUGUGCUUGCAGAUGCGUUUACUAUUUUGCUAGGAUGUAGCUUUAGUAGUGAUAGCAUAAGUAGCACGACAACCACGAUGGCAACACGUUGAUGGAUGAUCAUGGUGUGGCGCCGGUGACAAGAAGAUCGUGCCGGUGCUUUGGUGAUGGAGAUCAAGAAGCACAUGAUGAUGGCCAUAUCAUGUCACUUAUGAAUUGCAUGUGAUGUUAAUCCUUUUUGCACCUUAUUUUGCUUAGAACGACGGUAGCAUUAUGAGGUGAUCUCUCACUAAAAUUUCAAGACGAAAUUGUGUUCUCCCCGACUGUGCACCGUUGCUACAGUUCGUCGUUUCGAGACACCACGUGAUGAUCGGGUGUGAUAGACUCAACGUUCACAUACAACGGGUGCAAAACAGUUGCGCACGCGGAACACUCGGGUUAAGCUUGAUGAGCCUAGCAUGUGCAGACAUGGCCUCGGAACACAUGAGACCGAAAGGUCGAUCAUGAAUCAUAUAGUUGAUAUGAUUAGCAUAGGGAUGCUUACCACUGAAACUAUUCUCAACUCACGUGAUGAUCGGACUUGGGAUAGUGUAAGUGGAUCAUGAACCACUCAAAUGACUAGAGAGAUGUACUUUUUGAGUGGGAGUUUAGCAUAUAAUUUGAUUAAGUUGAACUCUAAUUAUCUUGAACAUAGUCUAAGUCCACUUUGAAUAUAUUUGUGUUGUAGAUCAUGGCUCACGCAAGUGUCAUCCUGAAUUUUAAUACGUUCCUAGAGAAAGCUAAGUUGAAACAUGAUGGAAGCAACUUUGUAGACUGGGCUCGUAAUCUUAAGCUAAUCUUACAAGCUGGAAAGAAGGAUUAUGUCCUUAAUGCUGCGCUUGGAGAUGAACCACCCGCUACGGCUGAUCAGGAUGUUAAGAACGCUUGGUUAGCGCGUAAGGAGGACUACUCAAUAGUUCAAUGUGCAGUCUUGUAUGGCUUAGAACCGGGACUUCAACGUCGCUUUGAGCGUCAUGGAGCAUUUGAGAUGUUCCAGGAGUUGAAGUUUAUCUUUCAGAAGAACACCCGGAUCGAGAGGUAUGAGACCUCCGAUAAAUUCUAUGCUUGCAAGAUGGAGGAAAACUCGUCUGUCAGUGAACAUGUGCUCAAAAUGUCUGGGUACUCAAACCGUCUAGCUGAACUGGGGAUUGAACUCCCGCAAGAAGCUAUCACUGACAGAAUCCUUCAAUCACUGCCGCCAAGCUACAAAGGCUUUGUGUUGAACUACAACAUGCAAGGGAUGAACAAGUCUCCCGGCGAGUUGUUUGCGAUGCUGAAAGUCGCAGAGUCUGAACUCCGUAAAGAGCAUCAAGUGUUGAUGGUGAGCAAUACCACUAGUUUCAAGAGAAACGGCAAAGGCAAGAAGGGCAAUUCGAAGAAGAGCGGCAAGCCUGUUGCCAAUCCGCCGAAGAAACCCAAGGCUGGACCUAAGCCUGAAACAGAGUGCUUCUAUUGCAAGGGUAUGGGUCACUGGAAGCGCAAUUGCCCCAAGUAUCUGGCAGAUAAGAAGGCGGGCAAAGAAAAAUCAGGUAUAUUUGAUAUACAUGUUAUUGAUGUGUACUUAACCGGCUCUCGUAGUAGUGCCUGGGUAUUUGAUACCGGUUCUGUUGCUCACAUUUGCAACUCGAAACAGGAACUGCGGAAUAGACGAAGGCUGGCGAAAGACGAAGUGACGAUGCGCGUAGGAAACGGUUCCAAGGUUGAUGCAAUCGCCGUCGGCACAGUGUCACUUCAACUACCAUCGGGAUUAGUGAUGAACUUAAAUCAUUGUUAUUUAGUGCCUGCGUUGAGCAUGAACAUUAUAUCUGGAUCUUGUUUAUUGCGAGACGGUUACUCUUUUAAGUCUGAGAAUAAUGGUUGUUCUAUUUCUAUGAGUAACAUCUUUUAUGGUCAUGCACCGAAUGUGAGAGGAUUGUUCAUAUUGAAUCUCGAUAGCGAUACGCAUAUACAUAACAUUGAGACCAAAAAGAGUUAGAGUAAACAAUGAUAGCGCCAUAUUUUUGUGGCACUGCCGCUUGGGUCAUAUUGGUGUAAAGCGCAUGAAGAAACUCCAUGCUGAUGGACUUUUGGAGUCACUUGACUUUGAUUCACUUGACACGUGCGAACCAUGCCUCAUGGGCAAGAUGACUAAGACUCCGUUCUCCGGAACAAUGGAGCGUGCAAGUGACUUAUUGGAAAUCAUACAUACCGAUGUGUGUGGUCCAAUGAGCGUGGAGGCACGCGGCGGAUAUCGUUAUUUUCUCACCUUCACUGACGAUUUAAGUAGAUAUGGUUAUGUCUACUUAAUGAAGCACAAGUCUGAAACAUUUGAAAAGUUCAAGCAAUUUCAGAGUGAAGUGGAAAAUCAUCGUAACAAGAAGAUCAAGUUCCUACGGUCUGAUCGUGGGGGUGAAUAUCUGAGUUUCGAGUUUGGUACUCACUUAAGACAAUGUGGAAUUGUUUCACAGUUAACACCGCCUGGAACACCACAGCGUAAUGGUGUGUCCGAACGUCGUAAUCGUACUUUGUUAGAGAUGGUGCGAUCUAUGAUGUCUCUUACUGAUUUGCCGUUAUCUUUUUGGGGUUAUGCAUUAGAAACAACUGCAUUCACUUUAAAUAGGGCACCAUCGAAAUCCGUUGAGACGACACCAUACGAACUGUGGUAUUGCAAAAGGCCAAAGUUGUCGUUUUUAAAGUUUGGGGAUGUGAUGCUUAUGUCAAAAAGCUUCAGCCUGAAAAGCUGGAACCCAAAGCGGAAAAGUGCAUCUUCAUAGGUUACCCAAAAGAGACGGUUGGGUACACCUUCUAUCUCAAAUCCGAGGGCAAAGUGUUUGUUGCUAAGAACGGAACUUUUCUCGAGAAGGAGUUUCUCUCGAGAGAAUUGAGUGGGAGGCAGAUAGAACUUGACGAGGUUGUCGAACCUCUCAUCCCUCUGGAUGGUGGCGCAGGGCAAGGGGAGACCUCUGUCGUUGCGACGCCGGUUGAGGAGGAAGUUAAUGAUGGUGAUCAUGAAACUCCAGUUCAAGUUUCUGUUGAACCACGCAGGUCGACGAGAUCACGUGCUGCUCCAGAGUGGUACGGUAAUCCCGUCUUAUCGAUCAUGUUGUUAGACAACAAUGAACCUGCGAAUUAUGAAGAGGCAAUGGUGGGCCCAGAUUCCAACAAAUCGCUAGAAGCCAUGAAAUCCGAGAUAGGAUCCAUGUAUGAGAACAAAGUGUGGACUUUGGAGAUACUACCUAAGGGCCGCAAGGCUAUUCAGAACAAAUGGAUCUUUAAGAAGAAGACGGACGCUGACGGUAAUGUGACCGUUUAUAAAGCUCGACUUGUGGCAAAGGGUUUUUCACAAGUUCCAGGAGUUGACUACGAUGAGACCUUCUCACCCGUAGCGAUGCUUAAGUCCGUCAGAAUCAUGUUAGCAAUAGCUGCAUUUUUCGAUUAUGAAAUCUGGCAGAUGGAUGUCAAAACGGCGUUCCUGAAUGGUUUCCUUAAGGAAGAGUUGUAUAUGAUGCAACCCGAAGGUUUUGUCGAUCCUAAGAAUGCUGACAAGGUGUGCAAGCUCCAGCGAUCCAUUUAUGGACUGGUGCAAGCAUCUCGGAGUUGGAACAAACGCUUUGAUGAGGUGAUCAAAGCAUUUGGGUUUAUACAAGUGGUUGGAGAAUCUUGUAUUUACAAGAAAGUGAGUGGGAGCUCUGUGGCGUUUCUAAUAUUAUAUGUGGAUGACAUAUUACUGAUUGGAAACAACGUAGAGCUUUUGGAGAGCAUAAAAGGUUACUUGAAUAAAAGUUUCUCUAUGAAGGACCUAGGAGAAGCUGCUUACAUACUAGGCAUUAAGAUCUAUAGGGAUAGAUCAAAACGCCUGAUAGGACUUUCACAAAGCACAUACCUUGAUAAAGUUUUGAAGAGGAUCAAAAUGGAACAGUCCAACAAAGGGUUCUUGCCAGUGUUACAAGGUACGAGAUUGAGUAAGACUCAGUGCCCAGCAACUGAUGAAGAUAGAGAGCAUAUGCGCUCCAUCCCCUAUGCCUCAGCCAUAGGCUCUAUCAUGUAUGCAAUGCUGUGCACUAGACCGGAUGUUAGCCUGGCCAUAAGUAUGGCAGGUAGGUUCCAGAGUAAUCCAGGAGUGGAUCACUGGACGGCGGUCAAGAAUAUCCUGAAGUACCUGAAAAGGACUAAGGAAAUGUUUCUCGUGUAUGGAGGUGAUGAAGAGCUCGCCGUAAAGGGUUACGUUGAUGCAAGCUUUGACACAGAUCCGGACGACUCUAAGUCGCAAACCGAAUACGUAUUUAUUCUUAAUGGGGGUGCAGUAAGCUGGUGCAGUUCCAAGCAAAGCGUCGUAGCAGAUUCUACAUGUGAAGCAGAGUACAUCGCUGCCUCGGAGGCGGCUAAGGAGGGUGUCUGGAUGAAGCAGUUCAUGACGGAUCUUGGAGUGGUGCCAAGUGCACUGGAUCCAAUAACCUUGUUCUGUGACAACACUGGUGCCAUUGCUUUAGCAAAGGAACCAAGGUUUCACAAGAAGACCAGACACAUCAAACGACGCUUCAACCUCAUCCGCGACUACGUCGAGGAGGAGGACGUAAAUAUAUGCAAAGUGCACACGGAUCUGAAUGUAGCAGACCCGCUGACUAAACCUCUUCCACGACCAAAACAUGAUCGACACCAGAACUGUAUGGGUGUUAGAUUUAUUACAAUGUAAAUCACAUAGUGAUGUGAGGGCUAGAUUAUUGACUCUAGUGCAAGUGGGAGACUGUUGGAAUUAUGCCCUAGAGGCAAUAAUAAAUGUAUAGUUAUUAUUAUAAUUCCUGUAUCAAGAUGAUAGUUUAUUAUCCAUGCNNNNNNNNNNNNNNNNNNNNNNNNNNNNNNNNNNNNNNNNNNNNNNNNNNNNNNNNNNNNNNNNNNNNNNNNNNNNNNNNNNNNNNNNUCAUAUAACUCACUGACAUCGGAGGAAUGCCUUGUGUGUAUCAAACGUCGCAACGUAACUGGGUGACUAUAAAGAUGCUCUAGAGGUAUCUCCGAAGGUGUUAGUUGAGUUAGUAUGGAUCAAGACUGGGAUUUGUCACUCCGUAUGACGGAGAGGUAUCUCGGGGCCCACUCGGUAAUACAACAUNNNAUAGUUUAUUAUCCAUGCUAUAAUUGUAUUGAAUGAAGACUCAUUUACAUGUGUCGAUACAUGGACAAAACACCGUCCCUAGCAUGCCUCUAGUUGGCUAGCCAGUUGAUCGAGGAUAGUCAGUGUCUUCUGAUUAUGAACAAGGUGUUGUUGCUUGAUAACUGGAUCACGUCAUUGGGAGAAUCACGUGAUGGACUAGACCCAAACUAAUAGACGUAGCAUGUUGAUCGUGUCAUUUUGUUGCUACUGUUUUCUGCGUGUCAAGUAUUUAUUCCUAUGACCAUGAGAUCAUAUAACUCACUGACANNNNNNNNNNNNNNNNNNNNNNNNNNNNNNNNNNNNNNNNNNNNNNNNNNNNNNNNNNNNNNNNNNNNNNNNNNNNNNNNNNNNNNNNNNNNNNNNNNNNNNNNNNNNNNNNNNNNNNNNNNNNNNNNNNNNNNNNNNNNNNNNNNNNNNNNNNNNNNNNNNNNNNNNNNNNNNNNNNNNNNNNNNNNNNNNNNNNNNNNNNNNNNNNNNNNNNNNNNNNNNNNNNNNNNNNNNNNNNNNNNNNNNNNNNNNNNNNNNNNNNNNNNNNNNNNNNNNNNNNNNNNNNNNNNNNNNNNNNNNNNNNNNNNNNNNNNNNNNNNNNNNNNNNNNNNNNNNNNNNNNNNNNNNNNNNNNNNNNNNNNNNNNNNNNNNNNNNNNNNNNNNNNNNNNNNNNNNNNNNNNNNNNNNNNNNNNNNNNNNNNNNNNNNNNNNNNNNNNNNNNNNNNNNNNNNNNNNNNNNNNNNNNNNNNNNNNNNNNNNNNNNNNNNNNNNNNNNACGAUCGAAUCUCGGGCAAGUAACAUACCGAAGGACAAAGGGAAUGACAUACGGGAUUAUACGAAUCCUUGGCACUGAGGUUCAAACGAUAAGAUCUUCGUAGAAUAUGUAGGAUCCAAUAUGGGCAUCCAGGUCCCGCUAUUGGAUAUUGACCGAGGAGUCUCUCGGGUCAUGUUCAUAUAACUCACUGACACCGGAGGAAUGCCUUGUGUGUAUCAAACGUCGCAACGUAACUGGGUGACUAUAAAGAUGCUCUACAGGUAUCUCCGAAGGUGUUAGUUGAGUUAGUAUGGAUCAAGACUGGGAUUUGUCACUCCGUAUGAUGGAGAGGUAUCUCGGGGCCCACUCGGUAAUACAACAUCACACACAAGCCUUGCAAGCAAUGUAACUUAGUGUAAGUUGCGGGAUCUUGUAUUACGGAACGAGUAAAGAGACUUGCCGGUAAACGAGAUUGAAAUAGGUAUGCGGAUACCUACGAUCGAAUCUCGGGCANNNNNNNNNNNNNNNNNNNNNNNNNNNNNNNNNNNNNNNNNNNNNNNNNNNNNNNNNNNNNNNNNNNNNNNNNNNNNNNNNNNNNNNUGUCUGUUGGGUUGGUACGAAUCAAGAUCGGGAUUUGUCACUCCGUGUGACGGAGAGGUAUCUCUGGGCCCACUCGGUAGAACAUCAUCAUGAGCUCAAUGUGAAUAAGGAGUUAGUCACAUGAUGACGUGCUACGGAACGAGUAAAGAGACUUACCGGUAACGAGAUUGAACAAGGUAUAGGUAUACCGACAAUCGAAUCUCGGGCAAGUUCUAUACCGAUAGACAAAGGGAAUCGUAUACGGGAUUGAUUGAAUCCUUGACAUCGUGGUUCAUCCGAUGAGAUCAUCAUGGAGCAAGUGGGAGCCACCAUGGGUAUCCAGACCCCGCUGAUGGUUAUUGGCUAGAUAGGUGUCUCGGUCAUGUCUGCCUGUCUCCCGAACCCGUAGGGUCUACACACUUAAGGUUCGAUGACGUCGUCGUGCUGCUGGAGUUCUUCCCCAACCUCUCCCUCCUCCUUGCUGGAUCAAGGUGCGGGAGACGUCAACGGGCUGCGCGUGUGUUGAACGCGGAGGUGCCGUAGUUCGGCACUAGAUCGGAAUCACUGCGAGUACGACUCCAUCAACCGCGUUCUAGCAACGCUUCCACUUAGCGAUCUUCAAAGGUAUGAAGAUGCUCUUACCCCUCCCUCGUUGCUGGUCUCUCCAUAGGAAGAUCUGAAUAUGCGUAGGAAAAUUUUGAAUUUAUGCUACGUUACCCAACAGUGGCAUCCGAGCCAGGUUUUCUAUGCGUAGAUUCUAUGCACGAGUAGAACACAAAAGUUGUGGGCGAUGAUUUGUCAAUUUGCUUGCCGCUACUAGUCUUAUUCUUUUCCGGCGGUAUUGUGGGAUGAAGCGGCCCGGACCGACUUUACACGUACGCUUACGUGAGACUAGUUCCACCGACAGACAUGCACACCGUGCAUAAAGGUGGCUAGCGGGUGUUUGUCUCUCCUACUCUAGUCGGAUUGGAUUUGAUGAAAAGGGUCCUUAUGAAGGGUAAAUAGCUUUGGCAUAUCAUUGUUGUGGCUGUCACGUAGGUAAGAAGGCGUUCUUGCUAGAAACCCAAAUCAGCCACGUAAAACUUGCAACAACAAUUAGAGGACGUCUAACUUGUUUUUGCAGGGUUUGACAUGUGAUGUGAUAUGGCCAAAGUUGUGAUGUUGCAUGUAUGAUGUAUGAGAUGAUCAUGUUAUUGUAAUAGGUUUCACGACUUGCAUGUCGAUGAGUAUGACAACCGGCAGGAGCCAUGGGAGUUGUCUUAAUUUAUUGUAUGAGAUGCAACGCCAUGUGCUUACUACUUUUACUUCAUUGCUAACGGUUAGCUAUAGUAGUAGUGAUAGUAGUAGUUGGCAUGACGACUUCACGGAGACACGAUGAUGGAGAUCAUGAUGAUGGAGAUCAUGGUGUCACGCCGGUGACGAUGAUGAUCAUGCGAUGCCUGAAGAUGGAGAUCGAAAGAGCAAAGAUGAUGAUGGCCAUAUCAUGUCACUAUAUGAUUGCAUUGUGAUGUUUAUCAUGUUUUACAUCUUAUUGCUUAGAACGACGGUAGCAUAAUAAGAUGAUCCCUCUUAAAAUUUCGAGAACGUAUUCCCCUAAGUGUGCACCGUUGCGAAGGUUCGUUGUCUCGAAGCACCACGUGAUGAUCGGGUGUGAUAGAUUCUAACGUUCGCAUACAACGGGUGUAAGCCAGAUUUACACACGCGAAACACCUAGGUUGACUCGACGAGCUUAGCAUGUACAGACAUGACCUCGAAUACAAGAGACCGAAAGGUCGAACAUGAGUCGUAUGGUUGAAUACGAUCAGCAUGGAGUUGCUCACCAUGGUGACUAGUCCGUCUCACGUGAUGAUCGGACACGGGUUAGUCAACAUGGAUCAUGUAUCACUUAGAUGACUAAAGGGAUGUUGAUUUAAGUGGGAGUUCAUACUUAAUUUGAUUAAAUGAACUUAAUUGUCAUGAACUUAGUCUAAAAGUUGUCUUUAUAAAUACUGUAGAUGGCCAACGUCAACCUCAAUUUCAAUGCAUUCCUAGAGAAAAACAAGCUGAAAGAUGAUGGUAGCAACUAUGCGGACUGGGUUCGCAACUUGAAGCUCAUCCUUGAAGCAGCUAAAAAGGCUUAUGUCCUUGAUGCGCCGCUAGGUGACCCUCCCGCUCCCGCAGCAGCCCAGGACAUUAUGAACGUCUGGCAAACGCGGAGUGAUGACUACUCUCUGGUUAGGUGUGGCAUGUUAUACAGUUUAGAAACGGGGCUCCAAAGGCGUUUUGAGCAACACGGGGCAUAUGAGAUGUUCCAGGAGCUGAAGCUAGUUUUUCAAGCUCAUCCCGUGUCGAGAGAUAUGAAGUCUUCGACAAGUUCUUUAGCUGUAAGAUGGAGGAGAACAGUUCUGUCAGUGAGCACAUACUCAAAAUGUCUGGGUUACACGGUCGUCUGACUUCACUUGGAGUCGAACUUCCGGAUGAUGCUAUAAUUGACAGAAUCCUCCAGCCUCUCCCACCAAGCUACAAAGGCUUUGUGCUUAACUACAACAUACAAGGGAUGGAGAAGACCAUUCCCAAGUUAUACUCGAUGCUCAAGUCUGCAAAAGUAGAAAUCAAGAAAGAGCAUCAAGUGUUGAUGGUCAACAAGACCACUAGUUUCAAGAAAGGCAAGGGUAAGAAGAACUUCAAGAAAGACGGCAAAGCUGUUGCCGCGCCCGGUAAGCCAGAUGCCGGGAAGAAGAAAAAGAACGGACCCAAGCCUGAGACUGAGUGCUUCUAUUGCAAGGGAAAGGGUCACUGGAAGCGGAACUACCCCAAAUACUUAGCGGACAAGAAGGCCGGCAACGUUAAAGGUAUAUGUGAUAUACAUGUUAUUGAUGUGUACCUUAACAGCGCUCGUAGUAGCUCCUGGGUAUUUGAUACCGGUGAUAUUGCUCACAUUUGCAACUCAAAGCAGGAACUGCGGAAUAAGCGGAGACUGGCCAAGGACGAGGUGACGAUGCGCGUCGGGAAUGGUUCAAAGGUCGAUGUGAUCGCCGUCGGCACGCUACCUCUACAUCUACCGUCGGGAUUAGUUUAAAACCGUAAUAAUUGUUAUUUAGUACCAGCUUUAAGCAUGAACAUUGUAUCAGGGUCUUGCUUAAUGCGAGACGGCUACUCAUUUAAGUCAGAGAAUAAUGGUUGUUCUAUUUAUAUGAGUGAUAUGUUUUAUGGUCAUGCUCCGCUGGUGAAUGGUUUAUUCUUGAUGAAUCUCGAUUGUGAUGUUACACAUAUUCAUAGUGUGAGUACCAAAAGAUGUAAAGUUGAUAAUGACAGUCCCACAUACUUGUGGCACUGCCGCCUUGGUCAUAUCGGCGUUAAGCGCAUGAAGAAGCUCCAUACUGAUGGACUAUUAGAGUCUCUUGACUUUGAAUCAUUUGACACAUGCGAACCGUGCCUCAUGGGCAAGAUGACUAAGACUCCAUUCUCAGGAAUAAUGGAGAGAGCAACCGACUUAUUGGAAAUAAUACAUAUUGAUGUGUGUGGUCCAAUGAACGUUGAAGCUCGCGGUGGUUAUCGUUAUGUUCUCACUCUCACCGAUGAUUUGAGUAGGUAUGGGUAUAUCUACUUGAUGAAGCACAAAUCUGAGACGUUUGAAAAGUUCAAGGAAUUUCAGAGUGAGGUUGAGAAUCAACGUGACAGAAAAAUCAAAUGUCUACGAUUUGAUCGUGGAGGAGAAUAUUUGAGUCACGAGUUUGGCACACACCUAAGGAAGUGUGGAAUCGUUUCACAACUGACGCCGCCUGGCACACCGCAACGCAACGGAGUGUCUGAACGUCGUAAUCGCACUUUAUUAGAUAUGGUACGAUCUACGAUGUCUCUUACCGACUUACCGCUAUCAUUUUGGGGAUACGCAUUAGAAACUGCAGCAUUCACUUUAAAUAGGGCACCGUCUAAAUCCGUUGAGACGACACCGUAUGAACUAUGCUUUGGCAAGAAACCUAAGUUGUCGUUUCUUAAAGUUUGGGGCUGCGAUGCUUAUGUGAAGAAACUUCAACCAGAAAAGCUCGAACCCAAAGCGGAGAAAUGCGUAUUCAUAGGAUACCCUAAGGAAACUAUUGGGUAUACCUUCUAUCUUAGAUCCGAAGGUAAAACCUUUGUUGCCAAGAACGGAUCCUUUCUAGAGAAAGAGUUUCUCUCGAAAGAAGUAAGUGGGAGGAAGGUAGAACUUGAUGAGGUAAUUACACCCCCUCUCGAACAGGAUAGUAGCACAGCGCGGAAAGUUGUUCAUGUGGCGCCUACACCGACUGAAGAGGAAGUUAAUGAUGAUGAUCAUGAAGCUUCGGAUGAAGUUACUACUGAACUGCGAAGGUCCACAAGGGCACGCUCCGCACCAGGGUGGUACGGCAACCCUGUGAUGGAAAUCAUGUUGUUAGACAACGGUGAACCUUCGAACUAUGAAGAAGCGAUGGCGGGCCCGGAUUCCAACAAAUGGCUUGAGGCUAUGAAAUCCGAGAUAGGAUCCAUGUAUGAGAACAAAGUAUGGACUUUGGUGGACUUGCCCGAUGACCGGCGAGCCAUAGAAAAUAAAUGGAUCUUCAAGAAGAAGACUGAUGCAAACGGUAAUGUAACCGUUUACAAAGCUCGACUUGUCGCAAAGGGUUUUCGACAAAUUCAAGGAGUUGACUAUGAAGAGACUUUCUCUCCCGUAGCGAAGCUGAAAUCAGUCUGAAUCAUGUUCGCAAUUGCCGCCUUUUAUGAUUAUGAAAUUUGGCAAAUGGACGUCAAAACAGCGUUCCUUAACGGGAACCUUAAGGAAGAGUUGUAUAUGAUGCAACCAGAAGGUUUUGUCGACCCUAAGGGUGCUAACAAAGUGUGCAAGCUCCAGCGCUCCAUCUAUGGGCUGGUGCAAGCAUCUCGGAGUUGGAACAUUCGCUUUAAUGAGGUGAUUAAAGCGUUUGGAUUCAUACAGGUUUACGGAGAAGCCUGUCUGUACAAGAAAGUGAGUGGGAGCUCUGUAGCUUUACUCAUACUGUAUGUGGAUGACAUAUUAUUGAUGGGGAAUAAUAUAGAGAUGUUGGAGAGCAUAAAGGCCUAUUUGAACAAAAGUUUUUCAAUGAAGGACCUUGGAGAAGCUGCAUACAUAUUAGGCAUCAAGAUCUAUAGAGAUAGAUCAAGACGCCUCAUAGGUCUUUCGCAAAGUACAUACCUUGACAAGAUAUUGAAGAAGUUCAAUAUGGAAAACUCAAAGAAAGGGUUCUUGCCAGUUUUGCAAGGUAUGAGAUUGAGUAAGACUCAGUCGCCGACCACGGCAGCAGAUAGAGAGAAGAUGAGUUCUGUCCCCUACGCUUCAGCCGUGGGCUCUCUAAUGUAUGCCAUGCUGUGUACCAGACCUGAUAUAAACCUUGCCAUAAGUUUGGUAGGGAGGUACCAAAGUGAUCCAGGUAUGGAACACUGGACAGCGGUCAAGAAUAUCCUUAAGUACCUGAAAAGGACUAAGGAAAUGUUUCUUGUUUAUGGAGGUGACGAAGAGCUCGUCGUAAAGGGUUACGUCGACUCUAGCUUCGACACAGAUCCGGAUGACUCUAAGUCACUAACCGGAUACGUAUAAGUGUUGAAUGGUGGGGCAGUGAGCUGGUGCAGCAGCAAGCAAGAAGUUGCGGCAGCAUCUACAUGUGAAGCGGAGUACAUAGCUGCUUCAGAAGCGGCUCAUGAAGGAAUUUGGAUGAAGGAGCUCAUCACCGACCUUGGAGUGGUUCCAAGCGCGUUGGGUCCAAUGACACUCUUUUGUGAUAACACUGGAGCCAUUGCCAUAGCCAAGGAGCCCAGGUUUCACCGGAAGACGAAGCACAUCAAACGCCGCUACAACUCCAUCCAGGACCAUGUCCAGAGUGGAGUAAUAGAUAUUUGGAAAGUACACACGGAUCUGAAUAUUGCAGACCCAUUGACUAAACCUCUUCCACGAGAAAAACAUGAUCAACACCAUAAUGCUAUGGGUGUUCGAUACAUCACAAUGUAACUAGAUUAUUGACUCUAGUGCAAGUGGGAGACUGUUGGAAAUAUGCCCUAGAGGCAAUAAUAAAAUGGUUAUUAUCAUAUUUCCUUGUCCAUGAUAAUCGUCUAUUGNNNNNNNNNNNNNNNNNNNNNNNNNNNNNNNNNNNNNNNNNNNNNNNNNNNNNNNNNNNNNNNNNNNNNNNNNNNNNNNNNNNNNNNNNNNNNNNNNNNNGAUCACGAUCCGACGUCUUGGAUCGUUUCCUUGUCCGUUACGUAUUCUCCGUUCCUGACCGGCAAAAAUAAGCGCGUAGGUAUGAGCUCGGCUCGGCUCAUUCCCGCAACCCGCGGCGCGUCGUGACGAGGCGUGGCGUGGCGAGGCGGGCGGCGGAGGAGGAGUGCGCGAGGGCACCUUCUCUUCUCACUCUCCAAUAGCAUGUGGAAGAGAGACCCUUAUAAAGGGGUCCAAACUCUCCUCCACUAGCGAGGUGGGACUAAACUCCCACCACCUUGCCAUGCCACCACCUACAUGGGCCCUUUAGAUUUUCUGAAAUUCUCUAGUGGGCCUAAGGCCCACCUCCAAAUUUCAACAAUCCCCCACCAGAUCUCAAGGGCACAUCGUGUUCCCUCGUUCCAAUCACUGUUUUAAUAUACCAGCAUUUCAGUGAAGACCUGUUAAGGUUGAGCUUCACCUAGAACAAGUAGCUACACCCCUUCACAACUGAACAAUGGACUAUGCCUUGAAUUGUCAGUUUGGCGUAAAGGAGCUUCACCACAAGUCUUACUAGUACUAGGCUGCCGAAGGUGACCCCUCGGGUGGAGCAUAUUAGUCACACUCCUGGCCUAUUCAUGAGUUUACUAGAGAUCACCCAAAUCUCAUAGACUGUGACCAGCAGUCAAGCUCAUAUAGGUGUGUUCCUCCAAAGAUCGCUCUGUAGGACAGCAUCUUGCUUACAUAUAAGCUUUAGAACACAUUAAGACAGUAGUCAUCCUACCAUACAGUAUCCGAGAGUAUUGCAUCUCCAACGGAGUGGGUUAGUAAAGUUACUCUCCUCAGUUCACCACUGGCUUGUUUUCCCAGGUCCUACUUCACGGGAUCUCCGAUCAUAUAGGUUAGGUUACUACCAUGGCAACUCAUGUGGGUCUCAUACCCAUCUCCCUCGAUGCACUAUCUAUCACAACACGUGAUAGCCCUUUAGUAAAGGGAUCUGCCAGAUUCUUAGCCGUUUGGAUAUAAUCCAACGCUAUCACUCCGGAGUUUCUCAAACGUCUGACAGACUUCAAUCUCAUUCUUAUAUGUUUGUUGGACUUCAUAUUGUCCUUUGAACUCUUCACUUUAACAAUAACCGUCUGAUUAUCGCAGUUCAUAAGGAUAGCCGGAACCGGCUUCUCAACCACAGGUAAGUCCAUCAAAAGAUCUCGAAGAAAUUCUGCUUCGACACCAGAUGUGUCUAAUGCUGUUAAUUCUGCUUCCAUUGUCGAUCUUGUUAAGAUCGUUUGCUUGCAAGACUUCCAGGAAACAGCACCACCCCCAAGAGUAAACAUAUACCCAGUAGUGGCCUUCAUCUCAUCAGCAUCAGAGAUCCAAUUCGCGUCACUAUACCCUUCAAGUACCGAUGGGAAUCCCGUAUAGUGAAGCCCGUGGUUGACAGUACCUUUCAAGUAGCGCAUAAUUCUUUCAACAGCACGCCAAUGAACUUCGCCCGGGUUUGCAACAAACCGGCUAAGUUUGCUCACAGCAAACGCGAUGUCAGGCCUUGUUGCGCUAGCUAGGUACAUAAGUGAACCGAUAAUUUGAGAGAAUCUCAAUUGAUCUAUAGCUGUGCCUUUAAACUUUCGAAUAAGCACACUAGGAUCAUAUGGUGUUUGACAAAUCUUGCAGUCUGAAUAUCCAAAGCGACUCAAAAUCUUGUCAACAUAGUGGGAUUGCAGAAGUGUAAUCCCACCCUCAUCAUCUCUCAAUAGCUUGAUGUUCAAGAUAACAUCAACCACCCCAAGGUCCUUCAUCUCAAAGUUUUGAGACAGAAAGGACUUAACCUCCUCAAUUACUUUGAGGUUGGUUCCAAAUAUCAGUAUGUCAUCAACAUACAAGCACAAUAUAACUCCUUCGCCCCCACCAUGGCGAUAGUAUACACAUUUGUCAGCUUCAUUAACAACGAAGCCAACAGAUGUCAGAGUUGUAUUAAACUUCUCAUGCCAUUGCUUAGGUGCUUGUCUCAGACCAUAUAAAGAUUUCAGCAACUUACACACCUUUCCUUCCUGACCUUCUAUCACAAAGCCAUCUGGCUGUUGCAUAUAGAUUUCCUCAUUUAGCUCUCCAUUCAGGAAAGCCGUCUUAACGUCCAUUUGAUGAACGAGAAGACCAUGAGAGGCCGCCAAUGAGAGUAGUACUCUAAUGGUGGUCAGUCUAGCCACAGGUGAAUAAGUAUCGAAGAAAUCUUCCUCUUCUUUCUGGGCAUAGCCCUUGGCCACAAGCCUAGCCUUGUACUUUUCAAUUGUACCGUCGGGCCUAAGCUUCUUUUUGAACACCCACUUGCAUCCCAAUGGUUUGCAACCAUAGGGACGAUCAGUGAUUUCCCAUGUCCCGUUAGCCAUGAUGGAGUCCAUCUCGCUACGGACAGCAGCUUUCCAGUAAUCAGCAUCUGGAGAAGCAUACGCUUCUGAAAUAGAAGUGGGAUUAUCAUCCACGAGGUAUACGAAGAAAUCAUCACCAAAGGUCUUUGCAGUCCUUUGUCUCUUGCCCCUACCACGGGCUUCCUCGUCAUCCUCCUCAGGAUUUUCAUCAUGUCUUUGUUCAUAAUAUUCCAUAGGAAUGGCAGGCUCAGGAGUUAUCUCAGAUUCCUGUCUAGAAGUGCUUUGCAUAUCUCUCAUGGGAAAUAUAUCCUCAAAGAAUGUAGCAUCCCUCGACUCCAUUAUUGUACCGACCUUCACGUCAGGUACCUCAGAUUUCACUACUAGAAAUCUAUAGCCUACGCUAUUCUUAGCGUAUCCCAAAUUAACGCAAUCCACAGUCUUUGGUCCAAGCUUGCGCUUCUUGGGGAUCGGUACAUUGACUUUCGCCAAGCAGCCCCAAGUACGUAAGUACGAGAGUGUCGUCCUUCUCUUCGACCACUCCUCGUAGGGAGUGACCUCAUUAUCUUUUGUAGGAACUUUAUUCAGGACAUGACACGCGGUCAAUAUAGCCUCCCCCCACCAUGCCUUGGAUAAACCCGAUGUAUCUAACAUGGCGUUAACCAAAUCAGUUAGAGUACGGUUUUUCCGCUCGGCAACCCCGUUUGACUGGGGUGAAUAGGGAGGCGUCCUCUCAUGAAUAAUGCCGUGUUCCGCACAAAAUGAAUCAAAUUCGUUUGAGAAGUACUCUCCACCACGAUCAGACCGGACUCGUUUAAUUUUCUUUUCAAGUUGAUUCUCAACUUCUGCCUUAUAGAUUUUAAAGUAGUGUAGAGCCUCAUCUUUAGUAUUUAACAGAUACACAUAGCAAAAUCUAGUGGAAUCAUCUAUCAAUGUCAUGAAGUAUUUCUUUCCACCUUUAGUCAACACACCAUUCAUCUCACAAAGAUCAGAAUGUAUGAGUUCUAAUGGUGUCAAGUGUCUCUCCUCUGCAGCCUUGUGAGGCUUGCGAGGUUGCUUUGCUUGCACACACGAGUGGCACUUAGAACCUUUGGCUAAAGUGAAAGUUGGGAUUAAAUUCAGUUUUGCUAGCCGCGACAUAACACCGAAACUUAUGUGACAAAGACGUGAAUGCCAAACUUCAGAUUCAUUAACACUCGAAUGAAUAUUGUUCACGACUUUAUUACAAAAAUCUGCUAGAGAAAGGCGGAACAGACCUCCGCAUUCAUAACCUUUUCCAACGAAAAGUCCAUAUUUCGUAACUACUACUUUAUUAGACUCGAACACCAACUUAAACCCUUCUCUACACAGAAGGGAGCCACUAACGAGAUUCUUCUUGAUGGCGGGGACAUGCUGCACGUUCUUCAGCUGCACGAUCCUUCCCGAAGUAAACUUCAGAUCGACCGUGCCAACACCAAGAACAGAAGCACUCGCGCCAUUCCCCAUCAAUACGGACCCGCGACCGGUGGCCUGAUAAGAAGAGAACAAUGACAAGUCAGCACACACAUGAAUAUUUGCACCCGUGUCCACCCACCAAUCGGUGGACUGACAAACUGUAAAUACAGUAAGUAAAUUACCGUACCCAGAUGCACCACUUUCAUUGUUGCCCACAAUCAUGUUUGCAGACUUGGAGUCCUGCGCCGGCUUCUUGUACUUGUUUGGGCAUUUGUUCGCCCAAUGUUCCUCUGAACCACAAGUAUAGCAGCCAUCUCCCUUCUUAUUCUUCUUGAAGGGCUUCUUCCCCUUCUUCUUGAAGUCGGUAUUCUGUUGGACAGAGUUCUUUCCCUUGGGCUUGUGAGAAUUGAAGUUCCUCUGAUGUACCAUAUUGGCAGCAGAAGAGCUUUCCACCGCUUUUCCAUUGGAGUCCUUUGCUCUCGAGUUCUGCUCAACACUCAGAUGGCCGAUGAUGUCCUCUACUGAGAACUCACGCCUCUGAUGUUUCAGAGUAGUAGCAAAGUUCCUCCAGGAAUUAGGGAGCUUAGCAAUUAUACAGCCCGCGACAAACUUGCCCGGCAAAUUGCACUUAAGAACCUCAAGUUCCUUAGCUAUGCAUAUUAUCUCAUGAGCUUGUUCCAAUACAGAACGGUUGUCAACCAUCUUGUAAUCGUGGAACUGCUCCAUAACAUACAUCUCACUCCCAGCAUCGGUGGCCCCGAAUUUAGAUUCGAGCGCCUCCCACAAGUCCUUGGCAACAUGCAUAUGUAAAUAUGCAUCAACCAGCUUAUCUCCGAUCACGCUAAUGACUGCUCCAAGGAAUAGGACGGUGGCCUCCUUAAACAUCUUCUCCUGUUCAGGAGUGAUAGUUUCCGUAGGAGUGACACCGGCUACCCAGAACACGUUCAUAGCCGUGAGCCAUAAGGUGGUUCUCGUUUGCCAACGCUUGAAAAAAGUACCGGUAAACUUAUCCGGUUUCAGUGCAGCAGCAAAACCAUUACUCGAAAAAUUCCUACAGACAUUAGGUUUUUGGAUUGUUGAGUAAAUAGGCAAUUUUCCGAGUAGAUUAAUCCACAAAAUAAUAACUAGCAUGUCAUUGACUAGACUAAUGACAUACUGAUCUUGAACUAACCUAGCACAUACUACGCAUAUAGUGGAUACAUCUAUGCAAACAAGUAGUACUGCUAGAAUAAAUACGAACAAGAGGAUAAACGAGUCAUACCCUCCAAUCGGCCAGUUGGCCGUAGCAGCAGCAGCGGCGACGGCGGCAGAGGCAGUAUCCUNNNNNNNNNNNNNNNNNNNNNNNNNNNNNNNNNNNNNNNNNNNNNNNNNNNNNNNNNNNNNNNNNNNNNNNNNNNNNNNNNNNNNNNNNNNNNNNNNNNNNNNNNNNNNNNNNNNNNNNNNNNNNNNNNNNNNNNNNNNNNNNNNNNNNNNNNNNNNNNNNNNNNNNNNNNNNNNNNNNNNNNNNNNNNNNNNNNNNNNNNNNNNNNNNNNNNNNNNNNNNNNNNNNNNNNNNNNNNNNNNNNNNNNNNNNNNNNNNNNNNNNNNNNNNNNNNNNNNNNNNNNNNNNNNNNNNNNNGGCGACGCGGACGUAGACGAAGCAGACGGACGGAGGCGAGCAGUCGCGUGAUCGCUCCCCAAAAACCUAAUCGCCCCUCUCCCGUACAGGAACCGGAGAGGCGAGGUUUCGGAGGCCUGCUCUCCCGUCGACCGUGUACGCGGUAAACGGGACGGAGUCGCCGGCGGCAGCAGCAGUUCAAGGAACGAACGCGUGAGGCAGAUGUGAUCUGAUUUCGUGACGGCUAGGGUAGGCGAUCGCGUGCUUAUAAAGGCGGCUGGGUGGAGAGUCCGAGUCGGNNNNNNNNNNNNNNNNNNNNNNNNNNNNNNNNNNNNNNNNNNNNNNNNNNNNNNNNNNNNNNNNNNNNNNNNNNNNNNNNNNNNNNNNNNNNNNNNNNNNGGGAUGUUAGAAGAUCGGCAUGAGAGCUUGUGAGCAUUACAUGGUUUUCUUCCAACUUCCCAUAAUUGCUAGUUAGUAAAUCAAGUUGAGCACGUAGCUCAACAUUCUCCUUCAAUGUUGAUACUUCAAAAGAGAUAGGGUUAGAUAUACAAGUAUCAUCAACAAUAUGAGGAGAGUAAGUGGCGAUUAGAGACUUCUCAUGAGUAGAUUGAAGCUCCUCAUAGACCUUAGAGGUUUUGAUGAGCUCUCCCUUGACAUUCUUGCAUUCAAGGAGAAGGACCUCAAAAUCCUUUUUAAGUUUAUCAUGAGCAACUUCAAUCUCUCCUUUUGAAGAUCUUAAGUCUCUACAUGCUUGAUGACUCUUCUCAAGUUCAUGUUCAAGUUGUUCACUUUUAGCUUGUUCAUGAUUAAGUGAAUCAUUACAAUUUUCAAAGUAAGCAAGAACAUCUUGGAAUCUUUGAAGAGCGUUAUUUUUAGCUUUAUGAAGAAUUUUACUGAUCACAUAUAUAUUUUCAGUCAAGUCAUCAUCAUCAUCCUCAUUGCAAAUAUCAUCGUUAUUGCACAGGGAAGAUGAUACCUCAUUAUUACCUCUUCCCAUGAGGCACAUGUGAACUGGAGGAGUUGAUGAUGAUUCUUUUGGUGAAUCAGAUUCUUCAUUAGUCAAAGGUACUUCAUAUUUCUUGAUUUACCCUAAAUGAUUAGUCAUAGAACAACUAGGGAGAAACAAUAUAUUUUGAUGAAGAGGACACGAGGAAGCAGGCAUAUCACUACAGACAUUUGUCGAGGGAUCUUUAGGUGAAAUGCAUGACCUAUCAGCACAAUAAUUUACACUACGUGUGGUGCUAGAUAUGCUUGUGUCCAUUGAGGCUAUGACAUUUUCAUCAACGUAUAUUUCUUCACUCACCAUGUCAUUACCUUGUGAGAUUGAAGAUGCUGAGGUGUGCAAGCAAUCGGAUAUGGAAGUAGUGGUGGAAUCUUUAAGAUCGAAAAGAGUGAAGAGCUCAUGCACCAACUCCAUCAUAAUACCGUCUUCAUCAAGAUUGGACCCACCAUAUAUAUCUUCAAGUUUAGUCCAAACUUCAUGAGCUGUCUUGCAAGUCGAGAUAGACUUAAACACUUCAGGACUUAUAGUUCGAUGAAUGGCAAGAAAAGCCUCACAAUCAAGAUACAUCUCAUUAGUAGAUGAAGAUGCAUCAUCCUUUUUGUCGGCAAUCCCUACAAGAACAAUUCGUAAAGUAUUUGGGCCCGUGGCCCGAAAGUGAUGAAGCAUACGAAUUCUCCAUAGGGUAUAAUUUGUGCCAUCAAAGUCAAAGAUGCCAUUGUGCACUAAUCCAAUAGUCGACAUCGAUACUCUCUAGGUCGUAAAACCUAAUUAAAGAGAGACCUAGCUCUGAUACCAAUUGAAAUGACCUCGAUGACGCCUAGAGGGGGGGUGAGUAGGCUAUUUAAAAACUUCUUCGGAUUUGGCUUGAACCUAAUGCAGAAAUAAACUAAGAGGGUACUUGUCAAGAACAAAUCCUAAAUGCACUAGGCACUGCAACGUGUAUCAACAACACGAUCUACCAAGAUGGACACAAUACAGUUACUAACAAGCACAAGAAAGUUACACAAACUUACUUGAGCUAUAUCACUCGACAAGUAGGUGAACAACGCAAGAUACUAGAUCACACUAUAUCAACACAAAAUAUCAAGGGCUGCAAGUAUGAACGUGUGGAUAUAGAGGGUAUGCUUGAAUGAUUAAUCUUGUACAAGAAAUAGCCAACACAAUAUAAUGAGCACAACCAAUAUGCAAUGUAUGUAUGCUCAAAUAACACAAGUAAACCACAAGUAAGGAGUUAGGGUUAAGGAUAACCAAGGUCACUGAGACGAAGAUGUAUCCCGAUGUUCACUUCCUUGGAGGGAAGCUAGUCACCGUUAGAGAGGUGGAUGUUACCACGAAGGCACACCAACGCCACGAAGGCUCACCCUAUUCUCCCUUUGAGAUAACACCACGAAGGCGUUUCUCAACCACUAGUGGUAAGCCUUUGAGGUGGCUUCCAAACCCUCACAAACUUUUCUAGGGGAAAUCACACGAAUUGAUUCCUCUCCGAAGAACUCCUACCGCCUAGGAGUCUCCAACCUCCAAGAGUAACAAGAUCACGGGGAAUGCUCAAAACUUGCUNNNNNNNNNNNNNNNNNNNNNNNNNNNNNNNNNNNNNNNNNNNNNNNNNNNNNNNNNNNNNNNNNNNNNNNNNNNNNNNNNNNNNNNNNNNNNNNNNNNNGCCCCGCGAACCGUCCCACGAACCGUCCCGCGAUCCGUCCCACGAUCUAGUGCCGAACGGACGGCACCACCGUGUUCAACACACGUACAGCUCGACGAUGAUCUCGGCCUUCUUGAUCCAGCAAGAGAGAUGGAG